This 74520-nucleotide long non-coding RNA is filed under the name Gossypium barbadense (sea-island cotton). RNAcentral describes it as "long non-coding RNA (GBAR_LNC021360)". Lineage: Eukaryota; Viridiplantae; Streptophyta; Magnoliopsida; Malvales; Malvaceae. The record is from RNAcentral.
GGCCAAAGCAGUCUUCCCUAACCCUCCAAACCCCACAAUUGGAAUGAUAUAAACAUUCUCUUCACUUUGAAACUCCAACACGAGUUUUAGAAGAGCUGCUUUAUCAUCAUCCCUCCCUAUUAUGUCAUCUUCACGCUCAAAAGAGUGCGUUUGCUGCCUCCUUUUAGUCAUGAAAGAGGUUUCCGCGGGGCGAUCACGCGGAAUGAAGCCAAAAGUGUUGGCCUCCCUUUCAAUUGAAGUUAAUCUCGCCUUAAUGGCCUUCAUUUUCCGACCCAUUUUGAGACCAUAAGCAAAUUGGUUUGAGGUUGAGAAGAAAAGGCGUACCUCUUUCGCCAGCUUGUUCCCACCCGAUACAUCUUUCCGCAAAGCUUCAGUAGAGAAAUCAUCGAGCAAGUCGUCGGCAUCAUAAAGUACAUAUUUCAGCUCUUCAAGCCAAACUUUGACGAGAUUGUCGGUCACCGAUUUCUCUUCAGCGUCAAGAAGCACAGCUUUGAUUUGACAGACAGUGCGUUUGAGGUCGUGGAUGUCAUGUUUUAGAUUCCACCACAGCCCAACUUGAGAGAGAGCACAAGAGCUCAACUUAGUAAUAAGCUCUAGGGCGAGGUCGAAUGCAAUUGCUUCGGCCAUUGCUGGUUCAAACAGAAAUCAAGCAAAGAAGGGUUAUUGCAAGAGGAGGAGUAAAAUGAGAAUGAUUGGAACAAGAUGAAACACAAAUGUGGAUCCAUACAUGCAGAGACUUGAGUAUAUUUAUAGAUAUUACCAUCCACCCACCAAGUAGCAUAAUUAAAUAAAAAGCAUUACAUUUUUUCCUUUUUAUCCUUCUUAUAAUUAAUUUAAUAAUUUUAUUUAAUGUCAUACAAUUAACAAUUAAUGAAUAAAACGAUAUUAUAUUAUAAUAUUUUUAAUGAAUAAAUAAUUUUACUUUCUAAUAAAAUAAUCUUAUUGGGUGUAUAAUAUAAUUAUAUCAUACAUUAAACAUAAAAAUCCAUUAAUUUAAUAUCUUAAAAGUGUGCAUCUUUUAUGAUUCUAAUGUAGAAUUUUCUUUUUUACCUAAAUAUUAUAUUUUCCUUUUUGUUAAAAAACAAAAUAAGAAAAUAUUAAUUUCAUAAUAAUGAAUAAAUAAAUGUAGCAUUCGAAAACUUGGCUCACUAAUUAGUGCAUGUUUUAUUUAUUCAAAAAGUGAGGCUCAAAAAUCCUUCUUUUUCGAGUUCAAAGAAAAUACAAAAAUUAAGGUUCACAAACAUCAAUUUUCUAAAUUUAUAUAGUGCAACAAAUUACAUGGGCUUAAUUGUAAUUUUUUUAAAACGUUUCACAUACAGCUUUUUUUUUUUUUUUCUAUUGUGAACAUUGAAAAAAAAAUUAGAACAAUAAUUUAAGUUGUAAAAUUGAUCAAUUGAAUUGUUUAGAUAUUUAGUUUUCAUUUAAAACUAUACAUACUUAAGGAUUGAAUUAUUCGUUCAAUAUUCAAAUCGAUUAUUAGAUAAAUUAUUUUUUAAUUCAAAUACACAAAUAUAGAAUCACAACUCAGCUCGAUCUAUAUAGUUUCAAAAAUUACUCAGGGCAGAAUUCCCCUCCCCUAAAUUUGGAAAAUUUUCAUUAAGCCUUCAAUUUUUUUGAAAUUUUUAAUUAGACUUUACCUUAGUUUAAUUGAAAACAGCUCACAAGGUACAAAUUGAACAUAUAUAGACAUCUCUUCUCCCCUUGCUUGAGUUGUUGAACUAAACUAACUUUCUUCAUAUAAUAUUAAUUUUACCCAAAAUUUUCCUGUUCAACGAAAACAAAAUUCCUAAAAUACAAAAGUUAAUGGAAGAUAAAGAAGACAUUGGAUCUAGGUUUAAUUGUUUUGUAAUAAGCUAAAAGGGAUGCAGUGGUUGCAGGGCAUCCAUAUUUGUAUCCUCAAAAUUUGGUAACUGAAGGGAGCUAUGCUAAGCAUUCAACCAAUCAUUAGGUACUGCAACGUUUUCAUUAAAUGAUAGUCUUACAUAAUGUACACAAGAUUGCCUGUUAAUUAGUUGUGUUUCCAUGUGUUGGAUUAUUAUUUGAAACCCCGAAAGAGAAAAAUGUAUAUAUUUUUUUUAAGUUGACACACAAAAAAGUAAAAAUAAAGGAGAAUAAAGAACACAACCAAGAUGUUUCCGCAGUUCAAAACUCAUCCUACAUUUGUGAGCUUUGUCUAGAGAUAAAAUCGCUAUAAACUUCACAGUACAAUGAAAUUAUUUAUGCCCAACCCUCCAAACUUGGUGCAACCUCACCUUUGUACAAUUAACUAAAUACUCUUCCAACUUACAUUAGCUAUGCAAGAGAAAAUCAACACUCAUAAGGUGGCACUCAAAUAAUAGUUACUAAGUGUGCCUCUAAGUCCACAAAUCAUCUAUAUAUACAAGCUCCAAGAUCAGCUGAUGAAGAAUGCAUACAGAUUGACUCGUCAACAAAGAAAAACAGAAAAAGGAAGAACAAAUGUGCAUAGAGAGGAGGAUUUCAUGGGAGCACAAUGCCAUGGACAGAUCAGCUGAUGAAGAAUGCAUGUCCUGCUUUUUGGCUCUUCCAUUGAACUCGUGCUGAAAAAGAAGCAGCUUAGUCACGAGGUUAUAUUAGAUCAUUUGAAAUUAUGAGAUUAUUAUGAUUUUAAAAUGUAAAGCAAUUAAGUAAUUACCACCUAUUUUUCUGCAUCUAAAUUCUUGAAGUUGUCAAAUGCCUUUCAGAAAAAUACAUGCCAAUCGAAUAUGUGGGCAGAUAAACAAAUGAGGGUAGCAAGUAUGAUCUCUGCUUUUUGUAUUGCAUGCUAUGCUCUGCCGAAGAAUAGAGCCAAAAGCUAACAAAAAUGAAGGGUAAAAAGAUUAAUGGAAACCUUGUAGUUUUCAAAGGUGAAUAAAUAAGGACAAUUAAGAUCGGUGUUAACAAAUUUUAACUAAUAUUUUGAAAACAUUUGAAAACAUUUUAAAUAAGUUAAAAUAUAUAAUAUAAAAAAUCUAUAAAAAAAUUUCAAAAUUCAAUUAUUGUAAUAUAAAACUUUCAUAUCUAAAAACCCUAAAUUAAAUUAAACUAUUUCAAUUGAAUUCAACAAACAAAUUGGACCGAAAACCAAUUAAUUGAUUGGUUCGGCCACCGUAUGUGAAUUUAAUUUCGUAUUUAUUUAAUUUGGUUAGCACAUAUUAAUAGUUUUCAUAUUCUCUUUAGUUUUUGUAUUUUCGGAUUGUGUAAAAUUUAAAAUUUAAAUAUUUUUAUGUUCAUAUUUUUUUUUAUAAAUAUAUAGGGGUAAGCUCUCACUAACUUUUUGAAGCUUUUAGGAGUUCCUUCUAUUGAAGCAAUAUCAUGAGCGAAUCUAUAAUCAAUAUAUAUGAGAAAGAAAAAAUAUAUAAAAAAGUAAAAUAAAAAAUAAAAAUAGACUUGAACACUUAUGGAUGUUAAAUUUAUAAUAAGCUUAAGUAAAAGGGUUAAAAUAAUCAAACUAUUGUCUAACUCAUGCUAUGAAAAAGAAAUCACAGUUAAAAGAAUAUUGUAUGCUUCAAUGAAAGUCACAAUUUAUCUUUGAUCAUGCUUGUUCGCAACUAAGUAGCUAUAAUGUAACUACAUGUUCCUACAAACCUCGCACUAGUCGACUUUGCCCUAUGAUCCAUUAGUCGAAUUUGUGAUGUCUAUAUUUUAAUAUGCGAGGUAUUUAAAGAAAUAGAUACAUCAAUUUAUUUUUGUAGUGGAUAAAUAUAAUUAUUUAUUUACACAAUAUAUAAACAUAAAAUGAUGCCCUAUUAAUAAUUUAUGAAAAUUAGAUCAAAUUAAAAUUUCAUGUAUAAAAUUAUAUGUUAUGCCAAAGUUUAUAUGUAGUUUUGAGAUUUAUCCCAUUUUCCUAUUAACUUAGCCAUUAGCCUGAGCAUUAAAUGUUCGCUCAAAUAUGAUAGGGGACAUACUUAAAACACAUGUGUCCAUGCUAUAUAGGCAACUUGAAUCUAAUUUGUUAAAAGAAGAAGAAGAAGUAAUCCUCUUAAAUUUUAUAAUCUCAGCGUGUUUUUAAUAUGUUAGAAUCAAGUUAUCAAUAUGAUGAGUACACAAGUAUUUACAAUUUAAUCCAUGUCAAAUGAGAACAGAAAUUUAAAAUCUAAAUUGAUAGCUACAAAAAUGAAAUGAUUUUAUUGUUAUAAUAUUAAUACUUUCAAAACUUAAUUAAAAUAUUUUAAAAUUUACAAAUUAAUUCUAAAACAAUAUUUAAUAAAUUGAGAAUAUUUAAUACAAAUAACUUCUUAUUUGAAUAUAAAUAAUUAUAACACAUUUAUUAUUAAACAAAAUAAUAUUGUUUGGUUGGAAAUGGUCCCACCGUAUUUUACGUUUGGGGAACAAAGCGAUGGCGUUUUGGUUGGAGAAGAAGGGAGUAACGUUGUUAAGUACAUCAUUUUGUUUAUUUUCGUUUUAAAUUUGUUUUCUCGUUUUCUAUUUGAUGCCGUUAAUAUUCUUUUUUGAGUAAACUAUAUUAAAAGUCAUUCAACUAUUUUAAAAAGUACAAAAUGAUCACCAAAUUAUUAGUAAUUUCUUUUAUCUAAUUAUGAAAAGUUACAAAAUAAUCAAUAAACUGUUAUUUUUUUCCUUUUCUUUCACCCAACUAUCUUGGAUUUUUUGGUGUUUUCUAUUUUUUCAUUAGCCAACUAAUGAUAAAAAUGAUAAAAUUGAAUUGUUGGGAGACUAUUUUGUAACUUUUCAUAAUUGAGUAACCAAAAAGGAAAAAAAAAACUUAGUUGGGUGACUACUAAAGUAGGUUACCCUUUUUUAGGUUAAAAUAUGCCAUAUGUCCUUGUACUCGCCAUAAAUUUGAAAUUUAGUCUCUAUACUUGUAUUUAUAGGAAUUUAAUUCUUUUACUUUUUAAAGUUCAAAUUUCAGGUCCAAUUAUUAAUACUGUUAAAUUAACCAUUUAAUGAUAGAGGGACUAAUUUGUAUGCAGUCCCUACAGUACCGGUACUUUAACCCUUAUAUAUAUUUGAAUUUUAUUUUAGGAUUAAAUUGAAAAUUUGAAAAAAGUAAGAGUUCAAAAAGGUAAAAACAAAUGAAAUUAGCACAUUAACUUACAAUUAUAUACCCUUUCUUUUCCCUCCUUUUCUACUCUAUAUCUCUCUAAUGUCUGAACUAAAACCCUCACUUUCUCUCCCUUCCUAUUUCCCUAUUGCAAUUAUACCCACCUCGUUUCCCCUCAAUAUCAUAAACCUCCAUGUUCGGGAUGGUCUUACGCUGCCGUAUUAACCUCCUCCUACGGCUUCAACAGUACCAGCUUCGACGGUUCCUCCGGUUGUUCCGCCGAUACGUCGUCACCUGGCCUUCGAUUCGACGAAGCCGCCGUUUGUUCAUCCCGAUGAUUAUCACAGAUUUUCAUCUAGUAAUAGUCGUGGAAUCGUCACCGAUCAGGAAGUUGAAGCUGAACAUUUAAUGCUGUGCUCUAUAUGAAGAAAGCUUGAUGGGUGUUAGUUCUUUUGAUGUUUGUAGAAUAAUAAAAGAAAACUUCUCAAGUUUAUUGGAUGCUAACAUAUUGUUAUAUACAAGCAAGGAAAGGAAGUAACAGAAAGUAACAGAAAAAUAACUACUAACUGACUAACAAGAAAUUAAUUUAAAACUAUAUGACUAAUAGCCCCCCUCAAGUUGGAGAGUGAAUGGGAAACAGUCCCAGCUUGGACAAAAUAAGCUGGAAGGGAACAGCAGGCAGAGCUUUGGUGAAGAUGUCAGCAAGCUGGUCUUUGGAAGAAUAAGGAAGCAAUUUGACAACACCGGACAACACUUUUUCACGAACAAGAUGACAGUCGAUCUCAAUAUGUUUAGUACGUUCAUGAAACGUAGGGUUUGCAGCAAUUUAGAGAGCAGAAUUGUUGUCGCAAAAAAAAGCAGUAGGCCUAGAAAUAGACAGAUGCAAAUCAGACAGAAGAAAUCGAAGCCACUGAAUUUCACAAACAGUAGAUGCAAGAGCCCUAUAUUCUGCUUCUGAGGAAGAGCGAGACACGGUGCUUUGCUUCUUGGCUUUCCAACUAAUAAGGGAAUCUCCAUAAAAUAGGUAGUAACCAGUCACGGAGCGACGUGUGAGAGGACAACCAGCCCAAUCAGAGUCACUAAAUGCCUUCAGUGUAGGCGAAGAAGAAGCAGAAAAGAAAAUACCAAAGUCAAUGCAUCCUUUCAGGUAGCGAAGAAUGCGAUGGGCAGCUUUUGAAGGUGAGUGACUAUAGGUCGGUCCAAGAAUUGACUUAACUGUUGAACAACAAAAGCAAGAUCAGGUCUAGUAGAAACCAAAUAUAAUAGGCGUCCAAUAAGUUUUCUGAAAAUAGUGUUAUCAGGAAGUAAUUCGUCAGAAGCAUCGCGAGGGAUUUUAGUAACCAUAGGAGUUGUAACAGGCCUGCAAUCUGAGAAACCAAAAUCAGCCAGUAGAUCGAGAGCAUAUUUUUGCUGGCAAAGAUGAAUACCAGCAAAACUACGAGCAACUUCAAGGCCAAGAAAAUACUUGAGAUCCCCCAAGUCUUUGAUGCUAAAGGCAGAAUGCAAGAAGGCUUUUACCCGUGUGAUUUCUUCCAAAGAAUCACCAGCUAGAAUAACAUCAUCAACAUAAACCAAUAAGGCAGUAAAGGAAAUUUCAUCCUUUUUAACAAACAGAGAAAAAUCUGAAGUAGAUUGAACGUAACCAAUUGUAGUGAGAGCUGCAGUGAGUUUGGCAAACCACUGUCGACUAGCCUGCUUGAGACCAUAUAAUGAUUUUUGCAACUUACAAACCUUAUGGGAAGUGGAGGAAGCAAAACUAAGAGGCAAAAGCAUAUAAACUUCUUCAGUCAAAUCUCCAUGCAGAAAUGCAUUGUUAACAUCAAGCUGGUGCAAAAACCAGUCUUUGGAAGCAGCAAUAGCAAGCAAUAAUCGAACAGUAGUAAUCUUGGCCACAGGGGAAAAAGUAUCAAAAUAAUCAACACCCUCAGUUUGUGUGAAACCUUUAGCAACCAAACGAGUCUUGUAACGCUCAAUAGAACCAUCGGCUCGAUAUUUCACACGAUAGACCCAUUUGCAACCGAUUGCAAUUUUGCCUGAAGGUAAGUCCAUAAUGAUCCAGGUGUUAUUUUGUUCAAGAGCAGAAAUUUCAGCUUGCAUUGCUUCUUGCCAAUGGGGAAUUUUGCUAGCUUGUAAAUAGGUUGUAGGUAUGGGAGAAGCAUUGAUAGCAAGAGUAAUAGGUGUGGCGCAUCGAAGAUGAUUGGCAACAGCUUUGCUGGAAAAGCAGUGAUACUGGUCUAAAUAUGAAGGAGGUUUCCUAAGACGAGGUGGCCUAGAGGGUUGUAAAGGAACGGGAGGUGAGGGUUGUGAUUGAAUUGGCAAGUCAUAGGUAAUGGUGGGGUCAAAGGUUAACUGUGGGAUGGAAGAGGAAGAAGAUGGUUGUUGAGAAAAAGGGAAAACGGACUCAUGGAAAUGGACAUUUUUGGAUAUAAAAAUGGCAUGGGUUGAUAGAUCAAAAAGAAUAUAGCCUUUGACAUGAGGUGGAAAACCAAGAAAGACACACUCACGUGCUCGAGGAUCCAACUUAUGACGAUGAGCAGUAAGAGUGGUUGCAAAACAAAGACAGCCAAAGACACGGAGGUGCUGAAAAGAUGGCUUAGUUUGGUAUAACUUGUCAAAAGGGGUAAGGUUAGCCAAAAUGGGAGUAGGGGUACGAUUAAUAAGAAAAACAACAUGAAGAAUAGCAUGUCCCCAAAAAUGCUUAGGCAAAUGAGAAUGAAAUAAGAGAGCCCGUGCAACAUUAAAAAUGUGUUGGUGCUUGCGUUCUACAAGACCGUUUUGUUGUGGGGUUUCAACACAUGUAGUUUGAUGAAUUGUGCCUUUGGAAGCAUAAAAGGCUAGAAUGACAAACUCACAACCAUUGUCAGAUCGAAUGACUUUAAUUUUAGAUGAAAAUUGAGUUUCAACAAGUGUGAAAAAAUUCUGAAUGUGAGUACGAACUUCAGAUUUUGCUUUCAAUAAAAUAAUCCAAGUAAAGCGACUAAAAUCAUCAACAAUGGUUAAAAAAUAACGAUGACCAGUAAUGGAAAUAACAUCAGUUGGACCCCAAAUAUCAACAUGAACAAGUUCAAAAAUUUUAUUGGAAAUGGAAGUGCUUACAGGAAAAGAUAAUUUCUUUUGUUUGGCCAAAUGGCAGGCUGUACAAGGUGCAUUAUUUGACAAAGACAAAGAAGGAAUGUAAGGGAAAAGUAGUUUUAGUCGAGAAUCAGAAAGAUGACCGAGACGAUGAUGCCAAAGGGAACAUGAAGAUGUGUUGGCUGACAAGGCAAUGGGAGCAGAAAUGGAAAAAGUUUGAGCUGGGAAAUCCAAAAUAUAAAGACCAUGGAGCACUCUAGCUGUACCAAUCAUAUUCGAAGAAGGAAGAGCCUGUAUAGAACAAUGAUUUUUAUGAAAAGUAAAGGAACAAGGUAAUAUAGCAGUGAGUUUAGUAACAGAUAAAAGAUUAAAGGUAAAUUGAGGAACAUAGAGAACAUUAGUAAUGUAAAGACUAUUAUUGAAAAUGACUGUACCAGAAAUUCGAGCACAAACUUUAGUGCCAUUUGGAAGGUUGAUGUAUAUAGGUUUAAUGGAAUGAAAAGAAGCAAAAAACGAUAAAGAGUGAGCAAUGUGAUCAGUGGCACCUGUGUCAAUGAUCCAAUGAUGGGAUUGAAGAGAAAAGAGGUUACCUGAGGAUGGGAAAGGGUUCGGUUGUGAGGAAGAAUCAGUAUUGGUAACAUGAGGUGGGGAGGUAGAUGCUGGAAGUAAUGCAAGUAGCUGUUGCAACUGAUCUUGUGUCAAAGUAACAGAAGGAUCAGAUGGCAAAAUAUCAACAUGCUGCGAAGAGUCCAAAGGUUGUGAAGCACAAUCAUUAAGCGCUGUAUGUGCACGAGAGGCCCGACCUCGAGACUUGUAACCAGGUGGAUAUCCAUGCUUUUCAUAACAAGUAUCAACAGUAUGCCUGGAUUUGCCACAGAAGGUACAUUACCGUGAAUCAGUAAAUGAUUUAGCCUGAGGUUUCUUUGAAGAACUGUGGUGGCGCAGUGUGUUGCUAACAAACAACUGAGAUGAGCCAGUAGGAAGGUGACGUUCUUGUUGAAUAACCAGGGAAAAUACUUUGUUGAUUGGAGGCAAGGGAUCAAUAAGCAUGAUUUGAGAACGAACAGCAGCAAAUCGAUCAUGAAGACCCUUAAGAAAACGAAUAACGUAGUCGUUAUCAUGAUAUUUCUGGAGAGUGACAAAAACACCGCAAGAGCAAGAUGGUGAACAAGAACAAACUGGAAUUGGUCGAAAAUUCAUCAACUCAUCCUAGAGAAUUUUUAACUCAGUAAAGUAAUCAGUAACGGAACGAUCAUCUUGCUUGAAAGCAUUGAUCUCUUCUUGGAGAGCAGAAAUGCGGAAAACAUCACUUUGAGAAAAGCGUUCACGAAGAUCGCGCCAAACAUCAUAAGCAAAGUCGAGCCAAAGAACACUGUUCAUGAUCGAGGGCGAGAUGGAAUGGUGCAACCAAGAAAGCACCAUAGUGUUACAUCGUUCCCAGGCAGAAUAAAGAGGAUCCGUUCGAGGUGGAACCGUGAUGGUGCCGUCAACAAACUGAAGCUUGUUCUUGGAUAGAAAUGCCAUUGUCAUAGCUCGAGACCAAGAGUGAUAGUUUGAGCUUGAUAAGACAGGAGAAACAAGAACCAAAGCUGGAUUUUCAUUUGGAUGCAGAUAGUAUGGGCUAGAAGGCAGCAUAGUAUCAUGAAAUGCCAUUGGAAGAAAAGGGAAUCAAGAAUGCAGAUUAUGGAGAAAGCAAAAUAUAACGUCUGAUACCAUGUAGAAUAAUAAAAGAAAACUUCUCAAGUUUUUUGGAUGCUAACGUAUUGUUAUAUACAAGCAAGGAAAGGAAGUAACAGAAAGUAACAGAAAAAUAACUACUAACUGACUAACAAGAAAUUAAUUUAAAACUAUAUGACUAAUAAUGUUUUGUCUUUGAUGGAUGUUUGAAAAAUGAUUCAGUUGAUAUCCAUAAUGUCUAUCACUAUAGUUUCCCCCUUAUGCAUAAUUCGACUGCUCUGCUAGUUUUGUCGGACAAAAUUAUAUUCGCAUAUUAUAUUCUUUUUCUUUAUUGUCUUCAACGCGAUAACAAGUGAAUUACUAGUUACUUUACUUGAUUUUUUCAUGGCAUUUAUCUCUUUGAGUUUUGGCCUUUGUGAAUUAACUUUUGAAUCAAGUAGCGAAGCAUUUCUGAUGGUUCUUAUGGCUAACAGUAAGUUUUCUUGUACAAGCUGUCGCACUUAUGCAUUUGUUAAACUUAUGCUCUUUUUUAUUUUAUUUUCUUCAAUUCAAUUGGUUGUUAACGUUGACAUAACCGUGCACAAAUACUAAGGGACCUUGUAAUUUUGCCUGCCAUUGGCGGUACUUUGAAAUAUUGCUGAUUUUUCUCAGCAAUUAAAAAGGAAGAGCGCAGCAGACAAAAAUGAUGUUGAGUCUAGCCAAUGGACAAGCAGUCCGGGGGUUACCUGUAUAUGCUAAAGGAGGAAGGAUAAAUAAUAGAUCAAAGACAUCAAAAGCCAAUAAAUCAAUGCCUCACACACCUGUGUCAAAUGCUGGUGCGAUACUAUUUCCUACUGGCUUUGUCCAUAGAAGGAAACUUAUGAUUCACCCCACGGCUCUAUCAUCAAUGCCUCAUUGCUCCAAUUAAGAGAGAUGGAUUUUGUAGAAGAGGAAUCACUGACAUUAUAAAUGAUAAUUGGCAGGUUGUCCAUCUCCUCUUACACCUGUGGCAGCUGCUGUUUAGAUAGUCCUUUAGUUAAUCUUUACUGCCCAUUCUUUUUUCUUUUACUAUAGUCUGUUUUAGCUCCUUAACCUGCUAUGGAUGGUGAGAACGACAAUAAUGCAGUCCCCAUUUUUAGGUCUGUUGACGAAAAAGUUUGUCAAUCUGAUGAAGCAUGCUGAUUUGUCAAUCUGAUGAAGCAUGCUGAAGAUGGUAUCCUUGACCUAAAUAAGGCUGCAGAAACAUUGGAGGUAAUGAAAUACUAGCGAGCUUAUGUAUCAUUGGGUGUUUGUUGAGUAUUUUUUUCAUGUUACUUAAAGGGUUCUUUUGUCCUUUAUUUUUCCCUGUAAAUGUUGUAACAGGUGCAGAAGAGGAGGAUAUAUGAUAUAACAAAUGUCUUGGAGGGCAUCCCUUCAUUUGAAUACUGUUUGGAACCCUAAAAAAACAUAAAUGUGUUUUUUCCUGAGAUGGCACGUAUUUUGCAAUAAGAAAAAUAAAGAGUACAAUUAAAAUGUUUAUGCAGUUCGGAACUUGUCCUAUGUCUGCGGAGCUUUGCCCAAAGAUGAAUCCACUAUGAACUUUAUAGUACAAAGAAAUGAUUUAAGCUUAACCCCUCAAACACUUUAUGCAAAUUCUCACUUUUGUACAAUUAAGUAAAUUCUCUCCCAACUCAUUUUAGCUAUGCAAGUGAAAAUUCACAUUCAACACUCACAUGAUUUUCCUACUAUGAAUAAGUUCUUAAUAAGCUCCAUGUAAAGUGGAAUAAUAAAUUUUCAAAUGCAAUAUGUCUGGGAAUUGUCAUGCUUGAACAACGACUCUUCCAAAAGCAUCAAUGAAUCUGAAAAUUAUAAAUGCCAACAUAGAAUAUGUUACAAAUCCCGUUAUUAUCAGCCUUAUAUUUACACAUAUGUCUGUUUAGUAUAAUGCUGUUGAUAUAUAAAUAAUGAAACAUUUUAUCAACUUCAACCUCACCACCGAAUAUUCUGAAGCAUUUUCCUUUUUUUCCUGUUUGGACCUUCAAUAACAAAUUUGGCUGGAAUUCCAAACAGCUAAAAGAGUGCCCUGCAUCAAUGAAUAUUAAGAUGGUAAGCAAAAACAUAAAUAUAUAUAAAGAUAUGAUAGGUAAGUGCUUAAAUGAAGAAAGCAGAGCAUAUAGUACAACCAUUUUGAAGGCUUCAUGGGCCUCUCUCUCCACAUCAAUCAUUUUUUAGAAUCAAAAUAUUAGAAGCAAAUAGAUGAAUUAUCACCUCUUUUUAUGCAUAUAGAAUGAUUGAAGUUGACUAAUGCCUUUCUCCAAUGCCUUACUGCACAAAUCAGCAAAUAUAUUAUGAAAGAUGAUAAGUAAAAAGUAGGAUGAAAACAAAGGGAUUUUAACAAGGAAAUUAACAGUAUCCAACUUCAAUGAAAAAUGGCAUCAGACCCCUGACUUGGAGAUUCAAUAUACCACUCUUAUUUUUCUUCAAAAAAAGAUAAGGUCAUCAAAAUAAAUAAAUAACAAAGACAGACCAACCUGAUAUGACCCAAUGUUGGGGAUGUGAGCAAUCUUUUGCCAAUCAGCGCCAAUGUCCUUCCGACAUCUUUCCUCCAACUGAGGAAUUCCUUUUAUGUGUAAAUACUCCAAACUGGUUAGGCAACGCAUCCCGUCCGGAAGAGAUGUUAAAUUUGGCAAAUUAACAAGAUGAAGCCGUUGCAGAUUUGUUAGAUGUUGAAGCCACUCCGGAAGAUGCCGACACUUUGGAAUAUAUUCCAGCCGUAGAGAGCGUAGUCUUGUAUGAUCUUGGAAUAUUUGGAUGCCAGCUCCAGAUAACUCCAGCUCCUCGCAGUUCCUUACUUCAAACUCUUCAAGGAAAGUGAGAUGUUGGAACACAGGAAGCAGUGACCUCAAUCCAUUCCAGUUAUGAAUUUUUAAUGUUUUCAAUUGAACAAGAUGUUGAAGCCCAAUGGGGAGAGACACCAGCUUUGGAAUAUUAUCAAUCUCCAAAUGAGAGAGAUUCUUAAGGGGUUCCCAUUGCAUGCCCUCUAAAUCAACCUCCUUGCAAUCUCGUAUUGUUAAUCUUUUGAGGCUGGUGAGAUGUUGCAGGCACUCAUCUAGCGUGUAAGUGUCCAACCCCUCAAUGUUGUGUACAUCGAAAGAUUUCAUUUUGGAGAGUGGAAGAGAAGAGGUUGAAGUUGAUGGGGCCUUAGCAUUGAUGUUCAUCUUGAUAGUCUGCUUUAACGGCCUUGAACUGGUAUUCGACAACAUUAGAUCUUCACCGAGUGAUGGAUACAGUGGCAUUAAAGUCAAAGGGCAAUUUUGAAUUGUUAAAGAGGAAAGACAAGGAAAUGCCAUGGUUGAUGUUCCCAUAACUGUUGUGUCGUCCUCGUUGGAAUCAUCAUCGAUUGGUUUUGUCGUCCUCCACCAACUCUUCAUAUUUGGGCAAUCCUCGAGGUUAAGAAGCUUAAGCGAUGGGAAGAAUGAUUGUGGUUCUCCUUGACUUCCUUUUGGGCUAUUAUCAUCCAUGUACUCCAGCUUAGUACAAAACAUAAUAUCCAGCAGUUCAAGACAGGGCAAUUGAGCAAAGGACGGGAAAUAUUUGAAAUUACCACCACUUAUGAAAAUUUUGACGAGAUUUGUGAGCAAAGGAAGCCAACUUGGAAACUUGGCAUCACCCCUCCAUCCUCGAAUACAGAGCUCCUUUAGAUUAGGAUGGGGUUGGAGGUCUUCAAGUGAUUUAUCAUCAUCAUAUUCAUCAUCGUUAAAAUCAAAAUAAAAGCUCCAUUGUAAAACCAACGAUCUCAAAUGUUGCUUCUCAUUCAAAUUAGCAGCCUUAAACUUCUCUUUUGCAUUUUUUACGAAUCCCAAAUUUGCUAUUUCUAGAUGUCCCCUUAAGUUGUUAAGCAGUCUCAAUUCACUUAGAUCUGCACCGCCAUGGGACCCAUCUUUAUCCACUACAAACAUGCUUAACGUCUCAAGUGAAGUCAGCUUCCCUAUUCCACGUGGCAUAUGAGUUAAACUAAAACAAGCGUCACACCCAAUAUGGGUAAGCUUCACCAAUUUUUCAACCUUCUUUGGCAAUUCUUGAAGCCCACAACACCAGUCAAGUUUCAGCGCUAGCAAAUUCUGAAUCUUGCAAAUACUCUUUGGGAGAAUCUUGAUAUUGUAAUUGGAAGAAAGAUCAAGGUGCCUCAAAUGUUUCAACUUGUAAAUGGAGGGUGAAAUCAUCUGAAUACCUAACGAAUGCAAAUCCAAUACACGCAAGCAUCUACAAUUUGCAAUUAUCAAAUCCCAAGUUUCAUAGCUGAAAUCAUCACUCAAUUUUUGAUCUAUGUUGUCUUGAAAAUGUAACAAGGUUCGCAACUUCUUUCCCUUAAACGAAGGAAUUAAUGAAGGUUUAAUUGAUAUGUGGCGACAUUUUUCACCAACAUCACUUGCAAUUCUAUUUGAAUCUACAAUACCACUCUCCAUCCCUGCUACUGAUUCAGCUAGAUCAUGCAUUAAAUCAUGCAUUUUACAUGUUAGCCCUUCCCAUGAAUAUCUUUCUCCUACUUCUUGGAAGAAACUUCUUUCAACUAAAUCUUUAAAAUACCCAAACCCAAUCUCCUCCAGAGAUUGACUUUGAUUCAAUUGCUUUAUGAAACCCUCUGCAAUCCAAAAUUGAACAAGCGCUUGUACUUCAAUUCUGUAAUCUUUUGGAUACAAUCGGCAAUAAGCAAAGCAAUGCUUCAAAUGAGACGGGAGAUGAUCAUAACUCAAUUUCAGCAUAGGUAGAAGUUCUCCUUCAAUUUGUGAUAUUUUAGGAAGUUCAUUUUCAUUGAAAGAAUGCCACUCAUUUGCAGUUUUCUUCAAAGAUAAUGUACCAGCUAUCGUCCUUAUGGCUAAGGGAACCCCACCACACCUUUCCGAAAUCUGUCUCCCUACUUCCACAAAGGCUGAAUUUGUUGAGUCUGCAUAUCCUUGCUCAAAUGCUAUCUUUUUGAACAAAGACCAAGCAUCAUCAUCAGACAAGCCUUUCAAUUUCAAAACAUGGGAUUGACAUUUAUUAGUUAUCUCCGCUACCCUUAGAGAUCUAGUCGUUACUAUUAUCCUACUCCCUUUAGCCCCACCCAUCAAUAACUUCUUUAGCCUAGACCACCUUUCUGGGUCCUCAUUCCAAAUGUCAUCCAAAACAAGCAAAUAUUUUUUCCCAUCAAUUUUAUCUCGAAGUUGUUUUUGCAGUUGAUCCAUUUCAAGAUUUUGAUCAGGUGCUUGAUGAGUCACAGAUUUGAUAAUGUUUGCUACAAUAACUUUCACAUCAAAAUCAUCUGAAACACACGCAAACAUCGUUAAGUCAAAAUGAUUUUUGACCAUUUCAUGGUUAUAGACAAGUUGGGCCAAAGCAGUCUUCCCUAACCCUCCAAACCCCAAAAUUGGAAUGAUAAAAACAUUCUCUUCACUUUGAAACUCCAACACGAGUUUUAGAAGAGCUGCUUUAUCCUCGUCCCUCCCUAUUAUGUCAUCUUCACGCUCAAAAGAGUGCGUUUGCUGCCUCCUUUUAGUCAUGAAAGAGGUUUCCGCGGGGCGAUCACGCGGAAUGAAGCGAAAAGUGUUGGCCUCACUUUCAAUUGAAGCUAAUCUCGCCUUAAUGGCCUUCAUUUUCCGACCCAUUUUGAGACCAUAAGCAAAUUGGUUUGAGGUUGAGAAGAAAAGGCGUACCUCUUUCGUCAGCUUGUUCCCACCCGAUACAUCUUUCCGCAAAGCUUCAGUAGAGAAAUCAUCGAGCAAGUCGUCGGCAUCAUAAAGUACAUCUUUCAGAUCUAAUCAAGCCAACUUUGACGAGAUUGUCGGUCACCGAUUUCUCUUCUGCGUCAAGAAGCACAGCUUUGAUUUGACAGACAGUGCGUCUGAGGUCGUGGAUGUCAUGUUUUAGAUUCCACCACGGCCCAAGUUGAGAGAGAGCACGAGAGCUCAACUUAAUAAUGAGCUCUGCGGCAAUGUCGAAAGCAAUUGCUUCGGCCAUUGUUGGCUCAAACUGAAAUCAAGGCGAGAAGUGUUUGAUUAGUGAAAGAGGAGGACUAAAAUGAGAAUGAUUCCAACAAGAUGAAACACAGAUGUGGAUCCAUCCACCCAGCAAGUAGUAUAAUGAAAAAAAAAGUAAUGUUCAUUGGUGGGAAAUGGUCCCUCCAUGUGACACAAAUUUCUGAAGGGAGACAAAGUUGGGAUGAUGACACUUGGGGUGCUCUGCACAAUGUGGAGCCGUACAAAUAAUUGAAAUUAAUGAAAAAGCUAUGAAAGAAAAGAGAAAAAAGGAGACAAAUCCCAUGGAAUCCAGGGUGUUUUGAUUGAGGCACAUGCAUUCAAGUCUUUCUAAACCUUCUUCCCACUUACUUUGUGUAAUUGAGUGGGUCUGAAUACUCGGUUCUAACUUAAAUUUAAUAUUUUAUUUUUGAGGGUGAUUGCAGACUGUGAGAUACAACAUGAAGAUUGGGUUUAUGUCAGCUCCAUGGGAAUGUAUUUUAUUAUACCAUCAUGAAGAUUGCUUCCAGUGCUCAUAUCUAUUUAAUUAUUUUAAUACACAUAAAAUUGUUUAUUGUGAGUUGGAUGAUUUUGGUUUGUUUAUUUAAGAUAUUUUAUUUUUAAAUAUAUUCUUAAUUAUUUAUUUUACAUAUUUUAACUUAAUAUAUUUAAUAGUGAUUUUUUUUAAUAAAAAAAAGGACCCAAAGGUUACUACCUCAUUUUAAGUUGCAUCAUAAAUUACAAUGUUAUGGAUAUCGCUAUGAUAAUCAAUCUCAAAAGACAAAUUACAACACUUAGAAAGAGCCCAAUUACAAAGAGAAUCGGCUAAUUUGUUACAACCACGUUUCACCCAUUUGACCUUGGCGGAAACAAAAGAAUCAAGCAUAUUGUGAACUCCUUGAUGCAGUGAUCAAGGAUCGUUAUGUCCUUCUUGUCAAAACUGAAGCAGUUGACAAUACUAGCACAAUCUGUUUCAAAAAUGACGUUAUCGGCUUUAAGAAAUUGAGCAAGCUGAAAACCAUUUAUGAGGGCAUCUACUUCCGCUUUAAUAUUGAUUUUUUAUUCUCAUUUUAUCAGUAUAUUUACAUUUGAAUUCAAAUACAUAUUCUAUAAUUAACUUUAAUCUCACUGUUACAAUACUUAACCUCACUAAAUUACUUGUUUAACAUGAUUAUGGUGAAUUUAUAGAAAGAACAAUCACGAAGCAAAUGCAGAUGCACUUAUCUUUAAAGUGUUAUUAAUGGAAAUUUUAUUAUUUUGAAAAAUAAAAGUAUAAUAACUUUUUUGGCAUUCCAACUUUAUAAAAGAAUUAUUUUAUUAUUUUGAACUUACAUUUUUUUGUCAAACCAUCCAAAAUGGGUGAAAAAGUUAAUGUUUGUUAACUUUGUUGACAUGACAUAUAGGUGGAUUACCACGUGUAUGUCACGUUAGCAAUUAAUUAUUUUUAAAAAAUAUUAAAAAAUAUUUUCUUAUAAAUUUUUUAAUUUUUAAAAUAUUUUUUUGAAUUUUUUAAAAUUUAAAAAAUGAGUAAUUGCUUAUGUGACAUACACAUGGCAAUCAGCGUGUAUGUCACAUUAGCAAAAUUAAUAGACAUUAAUUUUUCACUCAUUUUGGGGUGAUUUGACAAAAAUUACAAGUCUAUGGACUAAAAGAAACGAAAAAUUAAAUGGAGAGAUGAAAUUACUUUUUCUCUAAAGUUGGAGACCAAAAUAAUCAUUAUGGCAAAAAAUAGUUGUUUUUCUUCUCUCUCUUUCUUUUUGGUAUUUUUUAGUGCUAAAAUUUAAGAUGGUGUGGAAUGUUUAUAAUCUUAUUAUUGUUAUAUAUGUUUUCGAUCUCAUUAGAGCUAAUCUCACUAUCUAUAUAAAGAGAGCCUAAAUAUAAUUUGUUUAGCUUCUUUUAAACAUGUUAGUGUUCCCUUGUAUGAUCAUUUACCUCCCGUGAGUAGGGUUGAGUAAAUUAAAUAAAAUAAAAUAAUUGAAAAUCGAUCCAAAUCAAGGUCUUUAGAUGGUUUUUGGAAUACUAAUUAACAAAUCACAAUUAUCCGAAACCAAACCAAAUUAUAUUCUUUAUUUAAUUUAUAAAUAAAUUUAUUUUUUAUAAUUUAAAAAUAAAUCUUUUAUAUUUAAAAAUAGUGAAAAUAAAUAAAUAAAUAUUUUUAUUUACUUAAAAAAAAUUUAAAAAAUAUCUAUGAAAUAAAUUUUGAAAAUUUGUCAAAUGAUAUUUAAAAGCCGUAAAAUAAAGUUUAUUUUAUUAAAAUAAUUAUAAAAAUUUAUAAUAAAAAUCAAACUAAACUAAAUUAUAAUGGAAAGACAAAAAAAUACAAUCGAAUUAAGCUAAGAUUUUCUUAAAAAAAUUAACUUGCAAUGAGAUUGUUUUCCUCACUAUAACCUUGUAGAGGUGUUAUAUAAGUACAUAUCAUAUGAUAAUUAUAAAUUUAAUAAUUUAAUUUUUUAAAAUUAAAUAUAUUACAAAUUAAUAUUUAUAUAAUGAUAUAUUAAAUACAUGUAAAUUUAUUAUCAUAAAUAUAUUUUUAAUUAUUAUUUAAUAUAAAUAAUUUUAUUAUAUUUUAUUAUUUUCAUUUAUAUAAAAUAUAGAAUUUUGAGUUUAUAAUAAUUUCAAAAAAUAUAUAAUUUUCAUAUUCAAAUUUUAUAUAAAUUAAAUCUAAAUAAGUAGAUAUGUAAUAAUAAAUAAAAAUUAAUAAAAAAUAUAUUUAUUAAUAAAUUUAUUAUUUACCAUGAUUGCAAAUUUAGUAUAUGUUAUAUUAUUUAAUGUUAAAUAUAAUCUUUCAUUUUACAAAUAUAAUUUAACAUCCUUAAUAAUCAAUUUAAGGUGAAAACACCUCUCUAGUCCCUUUCAAUUUUGAUAUCAUACAAAUUGGUCCUUCUAAAAAAUUUAGAGCAAUUUUAUCGUUAUUAAUUUUGAAAUUGAGCAACUAAGGAUAAUUAAUCACAACAUUAAUAUUUUUUGUCAUCUGUACACAUUUUUAUUGGUAUAAUAACAGCUUCAGCCCUAAAAGUUUACACAUUCUGUCAAUUUAGUUCUAGUUUAACAAAAUCAAUUUGCAACAUUUACACAUUAUGUAUGAACUGAAUUUGUUAUUAUACUAAUCAAAAUUAUAUACGAGUGACAAAAAAUAUUAACAUUAUUUUUAAUUGUCCUUAGUUCACCUUUGAAAUUGAUAAGGAUUAACUUGUUCCAUUUUUUAGAAAGGGCCCAUUUGCAAAAUAUUGAAUUUAAGAGGGAUCGAAGAGGUGUUUUUAUCCAUUUUUAGCCUCACCUCACUACUACAAUUGUUAUUGAAUCCAAAUAUAUAUCCAACACUGAUUAUUAUCACAUCACUACGGUAUUCAAUCUCACUAUUAUAACAACUAAUAUUACCACCAACGUUAUUUUUCAUUUCACUAGACUUGAUCCAAGUAUACAUCCAAAGAAAACCAUAAACUUAUCUAAAUACAAAUAAAACUAUAAAAAAACUUAUUUAGACAUAAAUUGAAAAUAUAAUUACUUGCUUGAGUUACACAUUUGUCCAAUUAUUCAAUUUGGUCAGAUUGAAGGUUAUUCUUUGAUAAGAUAUUAUUAUUAUUAUUAUUAUUAUUUGCUCUGGGCAAACUUAAUACAACUUGAUUUACUCUUUAUUAAUUAAAAUCAUUUUAUUUAUAUUUAAUUAUAAAAAUGUGUAAAUAUUAUUAAAACAUUAAUUUUUAAUAUUCAAUGAAUAGUGAAAUAGGGUCAACUUAUAAAGCUUAAAGUAUUUAGGAAGUCCCUAUAUUAUAGACUGUAUCAAAAUAGUCUAUUGAUUAUUAAACAGAUCAAAUUUAUUCUUGUAUUAUUAAAAAAGAAUCAAAUUAUAUCAAAUUGUAACAGAAUUAACAUUUAUUGUAACAGAAUUAAUAUUAACAGAGUUAACAAUUUUCAAUACAUUUUUAUGCAAUAAAUGUUAAUUUUGUUGUAAUUUGGUUUUAUUUGAUCAUUUUUAAUAAUACAGAGACUAAUUGACCAUUUAAUAAUAGAGGGACUAAUUUGAUGUAGUCCCUAUAAUACAGGUACUUUCACCCUUAUAUAUGUAUUUGAAUCUUAUUUUGGAUGAAAUUGAACAAUUGAAAAAGAUAAGAGUUCAAAAAGGUAAAAAUAAAUUGUAAUUACAUACAAAAUAAAUCUCCUAUUGUUUAUCUUUUGAGGCUGGUGAGAUGUUGCAGGCACUCAUCUAGCGUGUGAGUGUCCAACCCCUCUAUGUUGUGUACAUGGAAAGAUUUCAAUUUGGAGAGUGGAAGAGAAGAGGUUGAAGUUGAUGGGGCCUUAGCAUUGAUGUUCAUCUUGAUAGUCUGCUUUAACGGCCUUGAACUGGUAUUCCUCAACUCUAGCUUAUCAUCGAGUGAUGGAUACAGUGGCAUCAAAGUCAAAGGGCAAUUUACAAUCCAUAAAGAGGAAAGACAAGGAAAUGCCAUGGUUGAUGAUGUUCCCAUAACGGUUGUGUCGUCCUCGUUGGAAUCAUCAUCGAUUGGUUUUGUCGUCCUCCACCAACUCUUCAUAUUUGGGCAAUCCCGUAAGCAAAGAUACUUAAGCGAUGGGAAGAAUGAUUGUGGUUCUCCUUGACUUCCUUUUGGGCUAUUAUCAUCCAUGUACUCCAGCUUAGUACAAAAGCCAAUCUCCAGCAGUUCAAGACAGGGCAAUUGAGCAAAGGACGGGGGAUAUUUGAAAUUACCACCACUUAUGAAAAUUUUGACGAGAUUUGUGAGCAAAGAAAUCCAACUUGGAAACUCAGCAUCACCCCUCCAUCCUCCAAUAAAGAGCUCCUUGAGAUUAGAAUGGGGCUGGAGGUCUUCAAGUGACUUCUCAUUAUCAUGGUUACCACGGACCCAUAUUAAAACCAACGAUCUCAAAUGUUGCCUCUCUUUCAAAUUAGCAGCCUUAAACUUCUCUUUUGCAUUUUUUACGAAUCCACUUAAGUUGUCAAGCAGCCUCAAUUCACUUACAUCUGCACCGCCAUGGGACCCAUCUUUAUCCACUACAAACAUGCUUAACGUCUCAAGUGAAGUCAGCUUCCCUAUUCCACGUGGCAUAUGAGUUAAGCGAUUACAAUAACGACAAGAAAGAUGGGUAAGAUUCACCAAUUUUUCAAUCUUCUUUGGCAAUUCUUUAAGCCCAGUACACCAGUCAAGUUUCAGCGCUAGCAAAUUCUGAAUCUUGCAAAAACUCUUUGGGAGAAUCUUAAUAUUGUAAUUGGAAGAAAGAUCAAGGUAUCUCAAAUGUUUCAACUUACAAAUGGAGGGUGAAAUCUUUUGAAUACCUAUAGAAUUCAAUUUCAAUACACGCAAGCAUCUGCAAUUUGAAAUUAUAAAAUCCCAAGUUUCAUCACUCAAAUUUUGAUCUAUCUUGUUUGGAAAGUGUAACAAGGUUCGCAACUUCUUUCCCUUAAACAAAGGAAUUAAUGAAGGAGCAAUUGAUAUGUGGCGACAUUUUUCACCAACCUUGCUUGCAAUUUCAUUUGAGUCUACAAUACUACUCUCCGUCCCUGCUACUGAUUCAGCUAGAUCAUGCAUUAAAUCAUGCAUUUUACAUCUCAUAUUCCCAAUUCCAUAUUCUUCUACCUCUUGGAAGAAACUUCUUUCAACUAAAUCUUUAAAAUACCCAAACCCAAUCUCCUCGAGAGAUUGACUUUGAUUCAAUUGCUUUAUGAAACCCUGUGCAAUCCAAAAUUGAACAAGCGCUUGUACUUUAAUUUUGUAAUCUUUUGGAUACAAUCGGCAAUAAGCAAAGCAAUGCUUCAAAUGAGACGGAAGAUGAUCAUAACUCAAUUUCAGUAUAGGUAGAAGUUCUCCUUCAAUUUGUGAUAUUUUAGCAAGUUCAUUUUCUUUGAAAGAAUGCCACUCAUUUGCAGUUUUCUUCAAAGAUAAUAUACCAGCUAUCGUCCUUAUGGCUAAGGGAACCCCACCACACCUUUCCGAAAUCUGUCUCCCUACUUCCACAAAGGCUGAAUUUGUUGAGUCUGCAUAUCCUUGCUCAAAUGCUAUCUUUUUGAACAAAGACCAAGCAUCAUCAUCAGACAAGCCUUUCAAUUUCAAAACAUGGGAUUGACAUUUAUUAGUUAUCUCCGCUACCCUUAGAGAUCGAGUAGUUACUAUUAUCCUACUCCCUUUAGCCCCACCCAUCAAUAACUUCUUUAGCCUAGACCACCUUUCUGGGUCAUCAUUCCAAAUGUCAUCCAAAACAAGCAAAUAUUUUUUCCCAUCAAUUUUAUCUCGAAGUUGUUUUUGCAAUUGAUCCAUUUCAAGAUUUUGAUCAGGUGCUUGAUGAGUCACAGAUUUGAUAAUGUUUGCUACAAUAACUUUCACAUCAAAAUCAUCUGAAACACACGCAAACAUCGUUAAGUCAAAAUGAUUUUUGACCAUUUCAUGGUUAUAAACAAGUUGGGCCAAAGCAGUCUUCCAUAACCCUCCAAACCCCACAAUUGGAAUGAUAUAAACAUUCUCUUCACUUUGAAACUCCAACACGAGUUUUAGAAGAGCUGCUUUAUCAUCAUCCCUCCCUAUUAUGUCAUCUUCACGCUCAAAAGAGUGCGUUUGCUGCCUCACUUUCAAUUGAAGCUAAUCUCGCCUUAAUGGCCUUCAUUUUCCAACCCAUUUUGAGACCACAAACAAAUUGGUUUGAGGUUGAGAAGAAAAGGCGUACCUCUUUCGUCAACUUGUUCCCACCCGAUACAUCUUUCCGCAAAGCUUCAGUAGAGAAAUCAUCGAGCAAGUCGUCGGUAUCAUAAAGUACAUGUUUCAGCUCUUCAAGCCAAACUUUGACGAGAUUGUCGGUCACCGAUUUCUCUUCUGCGUCAAGAAGCACAGCUUUGAUUUGACAGACAGUGUGUUUGAGGUCGUGGAUGUCAUGUUUUAGAUUCCACCACAGCGCAACUUGAGAGAGAGCACGAGAGCUCAACUUAAUAAUGAGCUCUGUGGCAAUGUCGGAAGCAAUUGCUUCGGCCAUUGUUGGUUCAAACUUCAAACUGAAAUCAAGGCAAAAAGUGUUUGAUUCGUGAAAGAGGAGGACUAAAAUGAGAAUGAUUGGAACAAGAUAAAACACAGAUUCGAAGGCUUUGUUUUGAAAGUAAGAUUACACUGCACCUGUUCAUAGACUCGAAGGCUCCUUCGAAAUUCGGAAAGGUUUGGGCAAAAAAUAUUAAGCCCAAAAAUAGACUUGGGUAAAAAAAAAUAUGCUUCCUUAAAAUAUGGGUCGGGCUUGAGCUUGAACAUUUAAGGCAAAAGCUUGACCCAAUCCGAUCCGUUUUAAGUUUAUGUUAUUUUUAUAAAUUAUGUAAUUCAUAACACAUUAAAAAAAUAAAUAUAUAAUACUACUCUAAUGUAAACUUUUAAAAAAAUAUUAAGAUGACUAUAUAAAAAAUUUCAAUAAAUAAAAAAGUAUAAAAUUAUUAAAUAUUAAAAUAAUAUAAUAUAAAUAUUUUUAAAAAUUUUUAAAAAAACAAUAUGGGUGGGCCUAAAAUAGGCUUAGGUUAGUAUUUUACAAAUAUGUACGAGUUUGGACAAAAUUUUAAGUUUAGAUUUCGAGUUGGAUCGGGCCUGGACAAGCAUAAAGUAUAUUAAUAUCAUACUUAGACUUAACCCGAACCCAAUCAACCUAGCCCAUAAACACCUCUAAAAUACACUUUAAAAGAUAAUAUUUGGAUAAGGAUAAAAAUGUUUAAUGAUCUCAAAUUUCUCUACUUCUUCUCUAAAUCAUUCAUAAAAAGGAUGACAAUCAUUUCAUAAUUUUGGUACAAAAUUCCUCUUCAUUUAAAAUUAAACCAACAACAACCAAGUAAAAAAUUGCCAAUAUAAAAUCUUUCACUGCUCCAAACCUAUUAUUCAAACUCUUUUUUCCAACAUGACAUAAAAAUGUGUAACAUGUUAGAAUAAUUAGGUGUUAUUGUAUUAAUCUAAAACGAAAUCUGAUUAAGAGGUCUAAUUUGAAAAUAGUAUGUUUUAAUUAACGUUAGUUUUAAAUUCACAAAAUUAAGAUAGCCAUUUGUGUAAAACGAGUUUAGUAUUGAUAAUUGAUAUUUUAAAAAGAUCAAGCCACCUAUACGGUUAAUGUGAUCUCUUCAGCUCGGUUCUACUGUCUAGGCCGGGUUGAGAAGGUUACAGAAUAAGGUAAAAUUUCCAAUAAUAAAAUGAUGUUAUAGAAAGUGGUUGUUCUAUGAAUAGUAUGUGUCGGUAAUGUUGCCUAAUGCAUUAUUAUCUCUUUCUUCUUCUUUUUAGAUCCUUACAAUUUCCAUGGUAGUAAUGGAAGCAUAAGCAUGUAGAAGCAAUGGUGGCCAACAACAGGUGCAACACAAGGCAUUUCAUCAAAAGAUCGUAAAUGCUUAUAUUCCCAUUCACACUAUUCUAUUUAUCAUCAAAAGAUUCUUAAGGGUGAGUAGGAAUAUGGAUGCUUAACCAUUAAGCCAAACAUAUCGUAAGAUGAAGCUUCAAUUUUGGUUUGCUAACAAUCUUCUUUUUUGGAGGUCGUAGCAAUUACGACAAUUUUCAAUUUAUCCAUUUUGUGAUGAUUUUACAAAUAGUUCAAGUUUAUGAACUAAAUUGAUUUUUCAUAAAGUUGGAAGGUCAAAUAAAUAAUUAUGCUAAAAUAUAAUAGAUGAUUUAAAACCAAAUGAAAAUAUUUAUUUAUUAGAAUUUGAAGUUGCAAUUUCUUGAAAGUUUUUUUAAAAAUAAAGAUGUCUAUUUAUUUGUUUUCUUCACCAAAACUAUUCACAGCUUUAUCUUAAAAGAGAAAGAAAAAAGAAAUCUGAAGUAAAAAAAAAAAUGAGAAAAUAGUAAUCUUAAAGCUUGAUUCAAUCACUUUUUCCUUUUCUUUUUUUUUAAUUGAAAUGUUUUUUCCUCUACUGCAUCCUUAAAAAAAUAGAUCAAUAAAUAAUAAUUAAAAGGGUAAACUAUCAAAAUAGUCAUAUUUAUUUGCCUCAGGUUACAUUUUAGUCAGUGAGUCAUUAAUUGUUAUUAACGGUGUACCAGUAAGCUGAUGUGGCAAGUUAAAUCAUCAUUUCAAAUGAAAAUUUUAGGUUAAAUUCUAUAAUUGGUCCCUAUAUUUUUUCAUUUGAGCAACUUAAUUUUCUUUUAUGUUUAUUUAACUUCUUUUUUUUUCUUUAUUUUACUUUCUCUUCUGCUUCUCUCUCUGUUUUCCUCCCUUAUUCAUUUUUUUAACGUAAUUUUUCUAUGAUUUUCAUUUGUUAAAACUAGUCCCUAUACUUUAAUAAAUCAAUAAAUCAUAAUUAAAACACUAACUUUGAGUAAUAUAAUUUUUUUAACUUAAUAAAUUUUCAUUCCGGAACAAAUAUGAUUUCAAUUAAUAUAUAUAAUCAUUUAGGUGGAGCAAGGAAAUAAUUUUGAUUGGACUAAUAAUAUUAUACGAGUCAAUAAAACUCAUUGAAAUAUUAUUUCAAAUUGCAGAGUUGUAAGAUUAAAUUAGAUGUGAUCAUGGGUCGGGUUUAGACAUAAUAUUAACUCAUUUUAUAUUUCGUCCGUCAAAAUUUGAAUGUUCAUGCUUGGAAACCGUAACAAGAAGGAAAUAAUGAAGGAUUAAUUGGUAAGUGGAGAUAUUUUUCACCAUCCUUAAAUUUAAAGUUGUCAAAGAAAAUCUGUAGCGAAGAGUAGUAAUGGGAGCAUAAGCAUGUAGAAGCAAUAUUGGUGGGAUUUCAUCUUAUUAGCUGCUUUGGAAGAGGUUCUUAAGGAUGAGUAGGAAUAUGGAUGCUUAACCAUUCAGCUUAAUUCUCAUUAAGCUGUUUAAAAUUUUUGAAAAUUUUAAUUCCAAAUUUGACUUCAUUUAUUCUCUUAUAGUUAUAGUUUAUUUGAAUGCUUGGAACUAAGCUUUCACGUUGUUACAUUAUUGAAAAUUACUUGUAUUUUGAUAAGGAAAAUAAAGAGAAAAAUAACAAUUGAUUUUUUUAUCUAUUUUAUCUAUUUUAGAGUGAUUUGAAAAAUAAUACAAGUUUAAGGACUAAAUUAAUUUUAUAAGGAUGAUUAUAUAUUAAAGUUUGACAAUGAUUGUACAAAGCUAUUUUAUUCAUAACCAAGUCAAGAAAUUGUCACUCCACACAGUUGUCUACUUUUUCAAAAUCUACUUUAAAAGAUAGCACCUCCCCUUCUUCACAUCUUUGAAUAUAGUUCACAGUUUCGUUUUUACUGGAGCACGAUCCAGGAUUUAUCAAUCUGAAAUAAAAGUAAAAUUGAAUUUUAUCGAUUGUUCUGAGCCGAGCUUUGAAUCUAUAAAGUCAAAAUUUUUCAAUGGGGUUAGUGGACUUUACUUUAGUUUAAUUGAAAAUAGCUUUGAACAUAUAUAGACAUCUUUUCUCCCCUUGCUUGAGCUGUUGAACUAAACUAACUUUAUUCAUAUAAUAUUAAUUUUACCCAAAAUUUUCCGUUUCAACGAAAACAAAAUUCCUAAAAUACAAAAGUUAAUGGAAGAUAAAGAAGACAUUGGAUCUAGGUUUAGUUGUUUUGUAAUAAGCUAAAAGGGAUGCAGUUGUUGCAGGGCAUCCAUAUUUGUAUCCUCAACAUUUGGUAACUGAUGGGAGCUAUGCUAAACAUUCAACCAAUCAUUAGGUACUGAAACGUUUUCAUUAAAUGAUAGUCUUACAUAAUGUACACAAGAUUGCCUGAUAGUUAGUUGUGUUUCCAUGUGUUGGAUUAUUAUUUGAAACCCCAAAAGAGAAAAAUGUAUUUUUUUUUUUAAGAUGGCACACACAAAAGUAAAAAUAAAGGAGAAUAAAGAACACAACCAAGAUGUUUACGUAGUUCAGAACUCAUCCUACAUUUGUGAGCUUUGUCUAGAGAUAAAAUCGCUAUAAACUUUACAGUACAAUGAAAUUAUUUAUGCCCAACUCUCCAAACUUGGUGCAACCUCACCUUUGUACAAUUAAGUAAACACUCUUCCAACUUAGUGAAAAUCAACACUCAUAAGGUGGCACUCAACUAAUAGUUACUAACUAAAUGUUCCUUUUAAGUCCACAAAUCAUCAAUUUAUACAAGCUCCAAGAUCAGAUGAUGAAGAAUGCAUACAGAUUGAGUCUUCAACAAAGAAAAAAAGAAAAAGAAAGAACAAAUGUGCAUAGAGAGGAGGAUUUCAUGGGAGCACAAUGCCAUGGACAGAUCAGCUGAUGAAGAAUGCAUGUCCUGGUUUUUGGCUCUUCCAUUGAACUCAUGCUGAAAAAGAAGCAGCUUAGUUACGAGGUUAUAUUAGAUCAUUUGAAAUUAUGAGAUUAUUAUGAUUUUAAAAAUGUAAAGCAAUUAAGUAAUUACCACCUAUUUUUCUGCAUCUAAAUUCUUGAAGUUGUCAAAUGCCUUUCAGAAAAAUACAUGCCAAUCGAAUAUGUGGGCAGAUAAACAAAUGAGGGUAGAAAGUAUGAUCUCUGCUUUUUGUAUUGCAUGCUAUGCUCCGCCGAAGAAUAAAGCCAAAAGCUAACAAAAAUGAAGGGUAAAAAGAUUAAAAAUUUCAAGAUAAAACAUAAAAUUGUAUGUACAUAUGAUUAAGAUUUAAAUUAGGAAAAUGAACAAAGCAGAGCAUGAAGUAGAAGCAUAUUGAAGGCUGGCAUGCAAGCAUUUUGGAAAAUGCCCAUUGGGUACCAAUAAAGAUUUUUUAGAAUUAAAGUAUUAGAAGCUAUGAAAUGAUAGAUAUGAACCACCAAAAUGCUUCACACUACAUCUAAAUUAUUCAAUUUUGUUUUAUGGAAUCAAAUAGAAAAUAAAUGAGUGGCAUGAAUUACCUGUCAUUCCUUGUUGGUAUUUGGUGUAAGCUGCAAUUUCAAAUGUGUAUACACAUAUGGAUUUCAUCAGAUCAUUGCGAUGGUGAGAUUAAUAUAAUUUAAAAGCGUAAAGCAAUUAGCUAGAUUACCACUUUUUUUUUCUGCGUUUGAAUUCUUGAAAUUGCCAAAUUCGUUUCACUAAAAGUCUUCGAUGCUUACUGCACAAACUAGCCAAAUAAAAUGAUAAAUAAAGAAAUUGCACCAAAAGCUUGUUCUAUUUUGGCAAAAGAGGCUGUAGUUGGAGAGUCAAUAUACCAACCUGUAGCGAUCUGAGCAAUAUUAUGCCAAUCGGCACCAAUCCCCUUUCGAUAUCUUUCCUCCAACUGAGGAAUUCGUUUCAUAAAGAACUCUUCCAAACUGGUUCUCGUCCGGAAGCGAUGUUAAAUUAGGCAAAUAAGAGAGAAUAAGCCUUGGAAGAUUUGUUCGAUGUUGAAGCCACUCCGGAAGAUGGCGACACUUUAGAAUCUUUGCCAGCGUUAGAGAGCGCAGGCUUAUAUGAUCUUGGAAUAUUUGGAAGUUAGGUGCAGAUAACUCCAGCUCCUUGCAGUUACUUAUUGCAUGCCCUCUAAAUCAACCUCCUUGCAAUCUCCUAUUGUCAAUUUUUUGAGGCCGGUGAAAACAGAUUAAUGGAAACCAUGUAGUUUUCAAAGGUGAAUAAAUAAGGAAAAUUAAGAUCGGUGUUAACAAUUUUUACUAAUAUUUUGAAAACAUUUUAAAACAUUUUAAAUAAUAUUUUAGCUAACCAAAUUAAAAAUUGUACCCUAACCAAAUUAUAGACAAGUGUAUUUGAUUAAUUUAAAAAAAAAUUAUUUUAGCUUAUAUAAGGGUUAAAAUAUUUGGAAAGUUUAAAAUUAGUCCCUCUAUUAUUAAAUGGACCAAUUUUAUCCCAAUACUACUAAAAAGAACUAAAUAAGGUUAAAUUGUAACAGAUUUAACAUUAAUAGAAUUAACAAAUUUCAAUAUAUUUUUUAUAAAAUAAACCUUGAAUUUGUUAUAAUUUAACUUUAUUUGAUCAAUUUUAAUAGUACAGGUAAUAAAUUAAUAGCAUUAACAAAUUUCAAUAUAUUUUUUAUAAAAUAAAUGUUUUGCCUUUGAUGGAUGUUUGAAAAAUGAUUCAGUUGACAUCCAUAAUGUCUAUCACUAUAGUUUCCCCCUUAUGUAGAAUAUGACUGCUAGUUUGUCAGGCAAAAUUAUGUUCGUAUAUUAUGUUCUUUUUCUUAUUGUCUUCAACACGAUAACAAGUGAAUUACUAGUUACUUUACUUGAUUUUGUCAUGCCAUUUAUCUCUUUGAGUUUUGGCCUUUCUGAAUUAACUUUUGAAUCACGUAGUGAAGCAUUUCUGAUGGUUCUUAUGACUAACAGUAGGCUUUCUUAUCCAAGCUCUCCUACAUAUGCAUUUCUUAAACUUAUGCUCUUUUCUUCAUUUCAGUUGGUUGUUAAUCUUGAUAUAACCAUGCACAAAUACUAAUACUAAGGGACCUUGUAAUUUUGCCUGCCAUUGGAACUAUUCUGAAAUAUUGCUGAUUUUUCUCAGCAAUUAAAGAGGAAGAGCGCAGCAGACAAAAAUGAAGUUGAGUCUAGCCAACAUAAUACAAGAUGUGUUAUUCAACUUGUAGUUUGAUGUGUGCCAACAUAAGCAUCAACACACAAGUCAUACAUAUAAACAGCCAGGAAACCGACAUCUUUUGGAAGAGUCCUAAUCCAAGCAUCAUAAUUGAACAUAGUCUUGGAAUACUGUCUAAAAAAAUGGUUGUCUCAUCAUCAAUUGUGCAUCCCUGCAUUUGAAUGCUGUUUCGAACACUAAAAAAACAUAAAUGUGUUUUUUCUGAGUUGACACGUAUUAUGCAACAAGGAAAACAAAGAGCACAAUUAAGAUGUUUACACAGUUCAAAACUAGUCCUACAUCUGCGGCGCCUUACCCAAAGAUGAAUACACUAUGAACUUCAUAGUACAAAGAAAUGAUUUAAGCCCAACCCCUCUAACACUUGAUGCAAUCUCAACUUCAACCUCACCACCAAAUAUUCUGAAGCAUCUUCCUUUUUUUCCUGUUUGGACCUUCAAAAUAACAAACUUGGCUGGAACUCCAAACAGCUAAAAGAGUACCCUACAUCAAUAAAUAUUAUGAAUUUGAAUACCUCCAAAAGCCUGUCAAUAUCACAGGUACCAUCUAAGAUAGUAAUCAGCUGGCAUAUAUUAAGAGAAAAUAUAAAUAUAUAUAAAGAUGUGAUAGGUAAGUACUUAAAUGAAGAAAGCAGAGCAUAUAGUACAACCAUUUUGAAGGCUUCAUAGGCCUCUCUCUCCACAUCAAUGAUUUUUUAGAAUUAAAUUAUUAGAAGCAAUUGUCAAGUUAUUAUUAUGAUUUAAAAGUAAAAAGCAAAUAGAUAAAUUAGUACCUCUUUUUAUGCAUAUAAAAUGAUUGAAGUUGACUAAUGCCUUUCUCCAAUGCCUUACUGCACAAAUCACCAAAAAUACUAUGAAAGAUGAUAAGUAAAAAGUAGGAUUAAAACAAAGGGAUUUUAACAAGGAAGUUAACAGUAUCCAACUUCAAUGAAAAAUGGCAUCCAGACCCCUGACUUGGAGAUUCAAUAUACCACUCUUAUUUUUCUUCAAAAAAAAGAUAAGGUCAUCAAAAUAAAUAAAUAACAAAGAUAGACCAACCUGAUACAACCGAAUGUCGGGGAUGUGAGCAAUCUUUUGCCAAUCAGCGCCAAUGUCCUUCCGACAUCUUUCCUUCAACUGAGGAAUUUCUUGUACUUGUAAAUACUCCAAACUGGUUAGGCAACGCAUCUCGUCCGGAAGAGAUGUUAAAUUGGGCAAAUUAACGAGAUAAAGCCGUUGCAGAUUUGUUAGAUGUUGAAGCCACUCCGGAAGAUGCCGACACUUUGGAAUAUAUUCCAGCCGUAGAGAGCGUAGGCUUGUAUGAUCUUGGAAUAUUUGGAUGCCAGCUCCAGAUAACUCCAGCUCCUCGCAGUUCCUUACUUCAAACUCUUCAAGGAAAGUGAGAUGUUGGAACACAGGAAGCAGUGACCUCAAUCCAUUCCAGUUAUGAAUUUUUAAUGUUUUCAAUUGAACAAGAUGUUGAAGCCAAAUGGGGAGAGACACCAGCUUUGGAAUAUUAUAAAUCUCCAAAUGAGAGAGAUUCUUAAGGGGUUCCCAUUGCAUGCCCUCUAAAUCAACCACCUUGCAAUCUCCUAUUGUUAAUCUUUUGAGGCUGGUGAGAUGUUGCAGGCACUCAUCUAGCGUGUGAGUGUCCAACCCCUCAAUGUUGUGUACAUGGAAAGAUUUCAGUUUGGAGAGUGGAAGAGAAGAGGUUGAAGUUGAUGGGGCCUUAGCAUUGAUGUUCAUCUUGAUAGUCUGCUUUAACGGCCUUGAACUGGUAUUCCUCAACUCUAGCUUAUCAUCGAGUGAUGGAUACAGUGGCAUCAAAGUCAAAGGGCAAUUUACAAUCCGUAAAGAGGAAAGACAAGGAAAUGCCAUGAUUGAUGUUCCAAUAACUGUUGUGUCGUCCUCGUUGGAAUCAUCAUCGAUUGGUUUUGUCAUCCUCCACCAACUCUUCAUAUUCGGACAGUCCCAGAGCGAAAGAUGCUUAAGUGAUGGGAAGAAUGAUUGUGGUUCUCCUUGACUUCCUUUUAGGCUAUUAUCAUCCAUGUACUCCAGCUUAGUACAACGCUCAAUCUUCAGCAGUUCAAGACAGGGCAAUUGAGCAAAGGACGGCAAAUAUUUGAAAUUAUCACCGCUUAUGAAAAUUUUGACGAGAUUUGUGAGCAAAGGAAGCCAACUUGGAAACUUGGCCUUGCCCCUCCAUCCUGCAAUACAGAGCUCCUUGAGAUUAGGAUGGGGCUGGAGGUCUUCAAGCGACUUCUCAUCGUCAUCAUCAAAACGAAGGCUCCAUUCUAAAAGCAACGAUCUCAAAUGUUGCUUCUCUUUCAAAUUAGCAGCCUUAAACUUCUCUUUUGCAUUUUUUACGAAUCCCAAAUUUCUUAUUCUUAACUCUCCCCUUAAGUUGCUAAGCAGUCUCAAUUCACUUAGAUCUGCACCGCCAUGGGACCCAUCUUCAUCCACUACAAGCAUGCUUAACGUCUCAAGUGAAGUCAGCUUCCCUAUUCCACGUGGCAUAUGAGUUAAUUCCCAACAAUCUUUACACCUAAGAUGGGUAAGAUUCACCAAUUUUUCAAUCUUCUUCGGCAAUUCUUUAAGCCCAGUACACCAGUCAAGUUUCAGCGCUAGCAAAUUCUGAAUCUUGCAAAUACUCUUUGGGAGAAUCCUAACGGGAUUCUCAGAAAGAUCAAGGUACCUCAAAUGUUUCAACUUACAAAUGGAGGGUGAAAUCUUAUGAAUACCUAUAGAAUUCAAUUUCAAUACACGCAAGCAUCUGCAAUUUGCAAUUAUCAAAUCCCAAGUUUCAUAGCUGAAAUCUUGACUUAAUCCGUAUUGAAAAUGUAACAAGGUUCGCAACUUCUUUCCCUUAAACAAAGGAAUUAACGAAGGAUUAAUUGAUAUGUGGCGACAUUUUUCACCAACAUCACUUGCAAUUUUAUUUGAAUCUACAAUACUACUCUCCAUCCCUGCUACUGAUUCAGCUAGAUCAUGCAUUAAAUCAUGCAUUUUACAUGUCAUAUUCCCAAUUCCAUAUUCUUCUACCUCUUGAAAGAAACUUCUUUCAACUAAAUCUUUAAAAUACCCAAACCCGAUCUCCUCCAGAGAUUGACUUUGAUUCAAUUGCUUUAUGAAACCCUGUGCAAUCCAAAAUUGAACAAGCGCUUGUACUUGAAUUGUGUAAUCUGUUGGAUACAAUCGGCAAUAAGCAAAGCAAUGCUUCAAAUGAGACGGGAGAUGAUCAUAACUCAAUUUCAGUAUAGGUAGAAUUUCUCCUUCAAUUUGUGAAAUUUUAGCAAGUUCAUUUUCUUUGAAAGAAUGCCACUCAUUUGCAGUUUUCUUCAAAGAUAAUGUACCAGCUAUCGUCCUUAUGGCUAAGGGAACCCCACCACACCUUUCCGAAAUCUGUCUCCCCACUUCCACAAAGGCUGAAUUUGUUGAGUCUGCAUAUCCUUGCUCAAAUGCUAUCUUUUUGAACAAAGACCAAGCAUCAUCACCAGACAAGCCUUUCAAUUUCAAAACAUGGGAUUGACAUUUAUUAGUUAUCUCCGCUACCCUUAGAGAUCGAGUAGUUACUAUUAUCCUACUCCCUUUAGCCCCACCCAUCAAUAACUUCUUUAGCCUAGACCACCUUUCUGGGUCCUCAUUCCAAAUGUCAUCCAAAACAAGCAAAUAUUUUUUCCCAUCAAUUUUAUCUCGAAGUUGUUUUUGCAAUUGAUCCAUUUCAAGAUUUUGAUCAGGUGCUUGAUGAGUCACAGAUUUGAUAAUGUUUGCAACAAUAACUUUCACAUCAAAUUCAUCUGAAACACACGCAAACAUCGUUAAGUCAAAAUGAUUUUUGACCAUUUCAUGGUUAUAGACAAGUUGGGCCAAAGCAGUCUUCCCUAACCCUCCAAACCCCACAAUUGGAAUGAUAUAAACAUUCUCUUCACUUUGAAACUCCAACACGAGUUUUAGAAGAGCUGCUUUAUCAUCAUCCCUCCCUAUUAUGUCAUCUUCACGCUCAAAAGAGUGCGUUUGCUGCCUCCUUUUAGUCAUGAAAGAGGUUUCCGCGGGGCGAUCACGUGGAAUGAAGCCAAAAGUGUUGGCCCCACUUUCAAUUGAAGCUAAUCUCGCCUUAAUGGCCUUCAUUUUCCGACCCAUUUUGAGACCAUAAGCAAAUUGGUUUGAGGUUGAGAAGAAAAGGCGUACCUCUUUCGUCAGCUUGUUCCCACCCGACAGAUUUUUCCGCAAAGCUUCAGUAGAGAAAUCAUCGAGCAAGUCGUCGGCAUCAUAAAGUACAUGUUUCAGCUCUUCAAGCCAAACUUUGACGAGAUUGUCGGUCACCGAUUUCUCUUCAGCAUCAAGAAGCAAAGCUUUGAUUUGACAGACAGUGCGUCUGAGGUCGUGGAUGUCAUGUUUGAGAUUCCACCACAGCCCAACUUGAGAGAGAGCACGAGAGCUCAACUUAAUAAUGAGCUCUGCGGCAAUGUCGGAAGCAAUUGCUUCGGCCAUUGUUGGUUCGAACUGAAAUCAAGGCAAAAAGUGUUUGAUUCGUGAGAGAGGAGGACUAAAAUGAGAACAAUCCCAGCAAGAUGAAACACAGAUGUGGAUCCAUCCACCCAGCAAGUAGUAUAAUUAAAUAAAAAGUAAUGUUGAUUGGUGGGAAAUGGUCCCUCCAUGUUUACUGUUUGACACAAAUUUCUGAAUGGAGACAAAGUUGAGAUGAUGACACUAGGGGUGCUCUGCACAACGUACAAAUAAUUGAAAUUAAUGAAAAAGCUAUGAAAGAAAAGAGAAAAAGGAGACAAAUCCCAUGGAAUCCAAGGUGUUUUGAUUGACGCCAAUGCAUUCUGGUCUUUCUAAGGAUGGGUUUGGAUGGGCGAUUGGGUGCGGUGCGGUGCGUUUAACUUACUUUUGGUGUCACGCUACAGUAUCGCUACAGUAUUUAAUCUCACCACCACCUCUGUUUUUACACUAUCCACAGAUAAACGCACCGCCAAUCCAAACUCAUCCUAAACCUUCUUCCCACUUACUUUUGUGUAAUUGAGUGAGUCUCAAUACUCGGUUCUAACUUAAAUUUAAUAUUUUAUUUUUGAGUUUAACUUCGGUUAAAUAUAUAAAAUUAAAAUUAAAAUUCAUUGGCCAUUAGAAUCAAAUAUUAUUAAAUUCGAAUAUGAUUAAAUCAAUAAUUUAAACAUAACUUAUUGACUACUAAAUCAAAUUUAAAUCUUUUUCGAAUCGAAUUUAAUUAACUUACAAAUAUGAUUAUCAUGUCCUCCUUGUGAAAACUAAAGCAGUUGACAGUGCUAGUACAAUCUGCUUCAAAAAUGACAUUAUCGACUUUAAGAAAUUGAGCAAGCCGAAAACCAUCGAUGAGGGCAUCUAAUUCUGCUUUAAUAGUGAUUUUUUAUUCUCAUUUUAUCGGUAUAUUUACAUUUGAAUUCAAAUACAUAUUCUAUAAUUAACUUUAAUCUCACUGUUACAAUACUUAACCUCACUAAAUUACUUGUUUAACAUAAUUAUGGUGAAUUUAUAGAAAGAACAAUCACGAAGCAAAUGUAGAUGCACUUAUGUUUAAAAUGUUAUUAAUGAAAAUUUUAUUAUUUUAAAAAAUAAAAGUAUAAUAACUUUUUUGGCAUUCUAACUUUAUAAAAGAAUUAUUUUAGCUCUCUAUUUAUUUUCCUUCUUUUUUAGUCUUUCAUUUUACAUUUUUUUGUCAAACCAUCCAAAAUGGGUGAAAAAGUUGACGUUAAUUAACUUUGUUGACAUGACAUAUAGGUAGAUUACCACGUGUAUGUCACUUUAGCAAUUAAUUAUUUAAAAAAUAUUAAAAAAAUAUUUUCUUAUAAAUUUUAAAAUAUUUUUUAAAUUUUUUUAAAAUUUUAAAAAAUAUUUUAUUGCUUAUGUGGCAUAUACGUGGCAAUCUGCGUGUAUGUCACAUCAGUAAAAUCAAUGGACGUUAAUUUUUCACUCAUUUUGAAGUGAUUUGACAAAAUUUACAAGUUUAAGAACUAAAAGAAACGAAAAAUUAAAUGGAGAGUUAAAAUGACUUUUUCUAUAAAGUUGGAGACCAAAAGAAUCAUUAUGGCAAAAAAUAGUUGUCUUUCAUCUCUCUCUCUCUCUCUUUUUUGGUUAUUUUUUAGUGUUAAAAUUCAAGAUGGUAUGGAAUAGUUUUUAAUCUUAUUAUUGUUAUAUAUAUAUAUAUAUAUAUAUAUAUAUAUAUAUUUUCGAUCUCAUUAGAGUUAAUCUCACUGUCAAUAUAAAGAGAGCCUAAAUAUAAUUUGUUCAUCUUCUUUUAAACAUGUUAGUGCUCCUUUGUAUGAUCAUUUACCUCCUGUAAGUAGGAUUGAGUAAAUAAAAUAAUUAAAAAUCGAUUCAAAUCAAGGUGUUUAGACGGUUUACAGAAUACAAAUUAAAAAAUCACAAUUAUCCGAAACUAAAUCAAAUUCUAUUUUUUAUUUAAUUUAUAAAUAAAUUUAUUUUUUAUAAUAUAAAAAUAAAUCUUUUAUAUUUAAAAAUAGUGAAAAUAAAUAUAUUUUAAAAAUAUUAUAUAAAAGUAUUUGAUUAUUUUUAUUUACUUAGAAAAAAUUUAAAAAUAUCUUUGAUAUAAACUUUCAAAAUUUUUCAAAUGAUAUUUAAAAACUGUAAAAAAAAAGUUUAUUUCAUGAAAAUAAUUAUAAAAAUUUAUAAUAAAACUUUGAACUAAACUAAAUUAUAAUGGACGGAUUAAAAAAUAGAAUCGAAUUAAACAAAUAUCACUUGAUUUUAUUGCACUAAACUGGACAUAAAAGAUUUUCUUAAAAAAUUUAACCUGCAAUGAGAUUGUUUUUCUCACUAUAACCUUCUAGAGGUGUUAUAUAAGUACAUACCAUUGAUAAUUAUAAAUUUAAUUAUUUAAUUGUUAUAAAAAUUAAAUAUAUUACAAAUUAAUAUUUAUAUAAUGAUAUAUUGAAUACAUGUAAAUUUAUUAUCAUAAAUAUAUUUUUAAUUAUUAUUUAAUAUAAAUAAUUUUAUUAUAUUUUAUUAUUUUCAUUUAUAUAAAAUAUAGAAUUUUAAGUUUAUAAUAAUUUCAAAAAAUAUAUAAUUUUCAUAAUCAAAUUUUAUAUGAAUUAAAUCUAAAUAAGUAGAUAUGUAAUAAUCAAUAAAAAAUUAAUAAAAAUAUAUUUAUUAAUAAAUUUAUUAUUUACCAUGAUUGCAAAUUUAGUAUAUAUUAUAUUAUUUAGUGUUAAAUAUAAUCUUUCAUUUUACAAAUAUAAUUUAACAUCCUUAAUAAUCAAUUUAAGGUGAAAACACCUCUCUAGUCCCUUUCAAUUUUGAUAUCAAGCAAAUUGGUCCUUUUAAAAAAUUUAGAACAAUUUUAUCAUUGUUAAUUUUGAAAUUGAGCAACUAAGGAUAAUUAAUCACAACGUUAAUAUUUUUGUCAUCUAUACAUAAUUUUAUAGGUAUAAUAACAACUUUAGCCCUAAAAUUUUACACAUUUUGUCAAUUUAGUUCUAGUUUAACAAAAUCAAAUUGCAACAUUUACACAUUAUGUACGAACUGAAUUUGUUAUUAUACUAAUCAAAAUUAUAUACGAGAGACAAAAAAAUAUUAACAUUAUUGUUAAUUGUCCUUAGUUCACUUUUGAAAUUGAUAGGGAUUAAAUUGCUCCAUUUUUUUAGAGGGGCCAAUUUGCAAAAUAUUGAAUUUAAGAGGGAUUGAAGAGGUGUUUUUAUCCAUUUUUAACCUCACCUCACUACUACAAUUGUUAUUGAAUCCAAAUAUAUAUCCAACACUGAUUAUUGUCACAUCACUAACGUAUUCAAUCUCACUAUUACAACAACUAAUUUUACCACCAACGUUAUUUUUAAUUUCUUUAGAAUUCAUCCAAUUAUACAUCCAAAGAAAACCAUAAACUUAUCUAAAUAAUUGUUAUAAAAAUUAAAUAUAUUACAAAUUAAUAUUUAUAUAAUGAAUACAUGUAAAUUUAUUAUCAUAAAUAUAUUAUUCAUUGAAUAUUAUUAUACGUGAUUUUAUAUAUUUAUUUUUUAUUCACUGAAUAAUAUAUUUUUAUUUUAUGUAAUUAAUACAAAUAUAAUAUUAUUCAAAUUGUGGUACAUAAUUAAAAUAGUGUAACAAUAAAAAAUUCAAACAUAAAAGUUUGGAAGUAAAUAAUAAUGAAAUAAAAUUUUUAGUGAUUUUAACUACUAAUUUAAUAAAAAAUUAAAACAUACUAUUCUUAUGUAUAAUUUAUAAUUUAAUAUAAAAUAUAAUUUUAAUUAUUUUUAAUAUAAACAUAGUUUUGAUAUUUUUAAUUAUUAUUUAAAAUAUUUUAUUAUAAUAUAUAAAUUAAUAUAUAUAUAAUAUAAAAAUCUAUAAAAGAAUUCCAAAUUUCAAUUAUUAUAAUAUAAAUUUUAUAUCUAAAAAUCCUGAAUUAAAUUAAAUUAAUUCAAUUGAAUUGGACAAACAAAUUCGACCGAAAAUCAUUUGAUAUGAUUGGUUGGAUUACCAAUCUAAUUUUAAAAACCUUGACCAGGACAACAUCAAUAUGUGAAUUUGUUUAAUAUUGUUUAUUUAAUAAGUCUAAAUUUUGAGCAUCUAAAAUGUUAAUAAAAUCUUAUUUCUAAUUAUUUUCAUACAUUGAAUAUGUCAUUUCACUUUGUUAGAACUUGUUUAAAAGAAUAUUGUAUGCUUCAAUGGAAGUCACAAUUUUACGGAAAAAUUUCGUAAAAAUUUCGUUCGAAAAUUUCGACGUUUGGGCACUCAAUUUAGUCAAAAGGACUAAAUUGUAAAAAGUGCCAAAGUUGAGUUCUACAUGUUAGAAGUGUCUAAUUGUUAUGAGAUUAUAAGUUGGGGGUCCUUAUGUGGUAAUUAGACCAUUAGUUAAUUUAUGGACAAAAAUAGACAUAAGAAAUGGGUGAAAUAUAUAUUUUUUAAGUAGGGGCAUUUUAGUCAUUUGGUAAUAAAAAGAAUAAAAUGGGAAAAAGAUGACAAAAAUCAUCAUCUUCUCCAUAAGUUGCUGUCAAAUUUGAAGAGUCACCAUAGCUAGGGUUUCUUCACUUUCUCAAGCUCAUAGUAAGUGCAUCCUAGCCCUGUUUUUAAUGUUCUUCGCAUUUUUGGAAUCCUCGUAGCUCGGUUUAGCUUAUUCUAUCAAUAAUUCAUGUUAGGGUUCAUAUUUGGAAAAAUAUCCAUAGGUGAAAUGUGUUUAUUUUUCUGUUUUAUGGUAGAAUAUGAAGCUAGAAAUUAUGUUAAACAACUUUUGCUAAGUGAUUUUAAGCAAAAACGAGUAAAUCGACAUAAUCGGUAAAAAUAUUUAUUGUUCAUAAGUGUAUGUUAGAGUGAGAAUUUGAUGUUGCCAUAGAAGGGAAAAGUGUUCAGCAUGUUGUAAAACAUAAGAAUAAGGUGUGAAAUUUAAUUUUCGAGCUUGGGGACAAAAAUGUAAUUAUGCAAAAGUUUAGGGGCAAAAUUGUAAUUUUAUAAAAGUUGAGUCGAAGCUUGUUUUAAUAAAUGUGAAUAUUAAACAAGCUCAAUUUUCUGUUAUAGAUCAAGAAAGAUGAGAAAUCAACCUUAAUCGGGGAAAAGAGAAGAUUGAGGAUUAAAUUGCAAAAUCUUUACAUUUUGUAUCGAGGUAAGUUGUAUGUAAUUAAUAUUGUUAUAAUUGUUUUCGUUAUAUUUUGUGACAAUAUACGUGAAAGGGUUGAUAUUAUAAUGUGUUUUGAAUGAGUUGUAAAUAUAUUUGGAAAGUAAGAAUCUUUGUGGAAAUGUCGUAAUGCUAAAGAUUUGAGUAAGGUAUCGAUGAACACGUGUGUAGUAUUGUGUGAAGGCUACUACGUGUAUCGAUAAGUAAUGUUCACAUGGGUAGUACUAAGUGAAGGCUACUAUGUGUACCAAGAAGCUUUGAGCACGUGUGUAGUACUGUGUGAAUGCUACCACGUGUCUCGGUAAACUACGGUCACAUGUGUAGUACUAAGUGAAGGCUACUAUGUGUACCAAGAAGCUUUGAGCACGUGUGUAGUACUGAGUGAAGGCUACUACGUGAGCCGUAAAACUUGAUCACGUGUGUAGUACUAUGUGAAGGCUACUACGUGAAUUGUAAAACUGAUCACGUGUGUAGUACUAUGUGAAGACUACUACGUGUAUCGAAUGAUAAAAAUAAUAUGAGUAGUACUAUGUGAAAAGCUCCGAAUAUUAUUUUAUAUAUACCGUCAUGAUGAUGAAAUUUGAGUAUGUGAUCGGAAUGUAAUAAGUUGUGAAAAUCGAUUGAAGUGAUGAAAUUUGCGUUGUGUUAUAAAAUAAGUGGUUAUAGUGCUAUGUGAAUAAGGAAUGUUGGAAUAGAACAGAUUUGGACAGUGACAGUGAUGUUAGUUUGAAAAAUCACCAAAAACUAUAAAAAUUGAGUUAGAGGUUGAAUAAUAUAUGAGAUUGAAGCUGAAUGAAUCUAUUUUCAUAUGGAAGAAACAAAGCAAGCAAAGGAGUUGUAUGUUUGGAGAUAUUUAAACUUUAUUGAGACAGGGUUGGAUUGAUUUCGAAAUCCCAUGUUUCAACUUUGGAAAAUCACCAAAAAUUGUAAAAAAAUAAUUAUGGCUUGAAAUUUAUAUUCUUGAAUUCCUUAAUGAGUCUAUUUUUAAUAGAAAGAAACAAGAACAUUGUUUAAAUUUUGUACAAAGAGUUAAAUAAAUUUUAGUGAAGAGAGGUCAGAAGUGUCAAAGAGUGAAACAGGGGAACAUUUAGAGAAUAAACUGUACUAAUUGGCUAAAAAAAAAUUCUGAAAAUUUUAUGGUAAGAAUAUAUGUGAGUCUAGUUUCAGAGAAAAUUUACGGAUCUCAAUUCGGAGUUCUGUAUCUCCGGAUAAAAAUAAUUUACCGACUGUGAUGUAGAAAAACAGUUUGUUGGAAGUUGACUAAAUGAUAGAUUUAUGUGUGAUAGAAAUGAUAUAAUAUAUGAUACUAUCUUAGAAAUUUAUUUAUCGAUUACAUACAUACUUACUAAGCUGUAAGCUUACCCCUCUUUAUUUUUCCUUUGUUUUAUAGUGAUAUUAAUCAACUCGGGAAUUGGACGGAGUUAGAACAUCAUCCUCACUAUCAUCACCAACUUUUGGGUAUUUUGCAAUCAAUACUUUUGAAAAAUGGCAUGUAUAGAUGACUUAAUGCAAUGUAGUUUAAACUUAUAUAUAUAUAUAUAUAUAUAUAUAUGUAUAAAAUAUCGUUUGGUUUAAAAUGUCGGUAUCUAUAAUUGAUGAAUUAUUUCCUUAAAUCUUUUGUUCAUAUAGUUUAGGAUGUUAUGGAUGAAUUAAUCAUGUCAGAACAUAUGAUUGUGUUUGGUUGAAAUAUCGAUGUUGCUUGAGAUUGUGUUUCGAAAAUUUGCAGGAGGAAUUGAAUAUUUAUGAAAAGAAACUAUGUCAAAAUUUUUGUAAAAGAAAAAAAAAAUUUGAUCGCUUGAUAACACUUCUCGCCUUGUUUCGACGAUGAAUACGGGUAAGAGGUGUUGCAAUAAACUUAUCUAAAUAAUUGUUAUAAAAAUUAAAUAUAUUACAAAUUAAUAUUUAUAUAAUGAAUACAUGUAAAUUUAUUAUCAUAAAUAUAUUAUUCAUUGAAUAUUAUUAUACGUGAUUUUAUAUAUUUAUUUUUUAUUCACUGAAUAAUAUAUUUUUAUUUUAUGUAAUUAAUACAAAUAUAAUAUAUUCAAAUUGUGGUACAUAAUUAAAAUAGUGUAACAAUAAAAAAUUCAAACAUAAAAGUUUGAAAGUAAAUAAUAAUGAAAUAAAUUUUUUAGUGAUUUUAACUACUAAUUUAAUAAAAAAAUUAAAACAUACUAUUCUUAUGUAUAAUUUAUAAUUUAAUAUAAAAUAUAAUUUUAAUUAUUUUUAAUAUAAACAUAGUUUUGACAUUUUUAAUUAUUAAUUAAAAUAUUUUAUCAUAAUAUAUAAAUUAAUAUAUAUAAUAUAAAAAUCUAUAAAAGAAUUCCAAAUUUCAAUCAUUAUAUUAUAAAUUUUAUAUCUAAAAAUCCUGAAUUAAAUUAAAUUAAUUCAAUUGAAUUGGACAAACAAACUCGACCCAAAAUCAUUUGAUAUGAUUGGUUGGAUUACCAAUCGAUUUUAAAAACCUUGACCAGGACAACAUCAAUAUGUGAAUUUGUUUAAUAUUGUUUAUUUAAUAAGUCUAAAUUUUGAAGCAUCUAAAAUGUUAAUAAAAUCUUAUUUCUAAUUAUUUUCAUACAUUGAAUAUGUCAUUUCACUUUGUUAGAACUUGUUGAAAAGAAUAUUGUAUGCUUCAAUAGAAGUCACAAUUUAUCUUUGAUCAUGAUUGUUCGCAACUGAGCUACUUAGUAAAUUAAAAAUCAGACCUCGACUAUGUACUGUAAGUGCAUUUUCCUACAAACUUUACCCUAUGAUUCAUUAGCCAAAGGUAUUCAUCCCAUCCCCCAAAGUCAUGAGAUAGAUUUGUAAGCUUUGUUUAUGUUAUAGUUAAGGUGGAUGUGUACGCUAGUGUGUGAGUUCUAAAUUAUAUUGUACAAAAAACAACCUAAAAAGAAGACAAAAGAAGACAUUGGAUAUAGGUAUAGCUGUUUUGUAACAACCUAAAAAGGGUCGUAAUUGCUGCAGGGCUCCCGCAUUCUCGUAUCCUCAAUAUUUGAUAAUCGAAUGGAGCUCAGCUAAGCAUUCAACCAAUCAUAAGAUGAAGAUGUGGGAUUCAUUACUCAAUCUAGCAAUGUCUUCAAUUUUGUACAACUCAAUCUUCAAAUUGCUUAAUGGUUCUUGCGUGAAACCCUUCCAUUAAAUGAUAGUAGAUCUACAUAAUGUACUCAAAAUUGCUUGAUAAUUAGUUGUGCUUGUGUUGGAACCUUAUUUGAAACAUCAAAAGAGAAAAAUAUGUUUUGUCUUGAGUGGACACAUAUAUAAAUAAAACUAAAGAACACAACUAAGAUAUUUACGCAGCUUGAAACUUGUCCUACGUUUGCAGCGCCUUGUUCAGAGAUAAAUCCACUAUAUAUUUUCUAGUACAAAGAAAUGAUUUAUGCCCAACUCUCAAACAUUUGGUGUCACCUCACCUUUGUACAAUGAAGUAAACUCUCGCCCAAUUCACUUUAGCUAUACAAUUGAAAAUCAACACUCAAAAGGUGUAUAACAAUGACACUCAAUAAUAAUUCCUCGCUAUGAGCGCAUGUACUCCUUUAAAUCCACACAUCAUCCACUAAACAAAUCAUCUAUAUAUAAGCUCCAAAAUGCACCAAGCUUUACAUAAGCUCCAUGUAAAGUGGAAUAACAAAUUUUCAAAUGCAAUAUCACUGGACCUAUGUAGAAACACUUACUGUUACUAAACGCUACUGUAUAUCAUGUGCAUAAAUGGUGGCUCACAGCAAACCCAUUGUCCAUGCUUUUUCAGUGCGUUCAAAGUUUAUACAUUCUGUCAAUUUAGUUUUGAUUUAAUAAAUUUAGCCUACAAUAUUUACACAUUUUGUCAAUUUGAUUCUAGUUUAACAAAAUUAGAUUGCAACAUUUACACAUUAUGUAUGAGCUCGAUUUGUUAUUAUACCAAUCAAAAUUAUAUACGAGUGAUAAAAAAUAUUAACAUUGUGGUUAAUUGUCCUUAGUUCACUUCCGAAAUUGAUAGGGAUUAACUUACUUAUUUUAUUUUUAGGGGGGCCAAUUUGCAUAAUAAUGAAUUUGAGAGGAACAAAAGGUGUGUUUUUGCCCAUUUUUAUCCUCACCUCACUACUACAAUUGUUAUUGAAUCCAAACAGGUAUCCAACAAUAAUUUCAAUCACAUCACUAUGGUAUUCAAGCUCACUAUUACAACAAUUAAUCUCACCACCGCUGUUAUUUUUAAUUUCACUAGAGUUGAUGGAAUUGUCCAUCCAAUGAAAGUCAUAGACCUAUCUAAACACAAAUACAAAGAUAAAAACUUAUUUAGAUAUAAAUUGAAAAAUAAUUUUUAUUAUUUGACACAAUUAAAAUGUAAUUACUUGCUUGAUUGAUACAUUUGCUCAAAGGUAAUGUAGCCCCUUCCAUUUUAUUAUUUGCUUAAUUUUUUUUGUAUGUGAUAUUUUGAUCUGUUCAUAAAUGGAAUGUUUCAUGGUGGCUAAGUUUCUUAGGGGAUAAAUUAUGAGUAGCAUUAUUUGUUUGUGCAGUGAAAUUGUGAUGUCUAUAUUUUAAUCUAUUUCUGUAUUUGAUGAUGUAGUGGAGUUUUAAUAUAAUUGUAAUUGAUGGUUUGUUAGUUUUAUGUACCAUAAAUGCUAUAGUAAGAGAGUUUAAAGCCGAACAUUUAAUGUCGUGCUCUAUAUGAAGAAAGGUUGAUGAGUGUUAGUUCUUUUGAUGUUUUGCCUUUGAUGGAUGUUUGAAAAAUGAUUCAGUUGAUAUCCAUAAUGUCUACCACUAUAGUUUCCCCCUUAUGUAGAAUAUGACUGCUAGUAUGUCAGGCAAUAUUAUGUUCGUAUAUUAUGUUCUUUUUCUUAUUGUCUUCAACACGAUAACAAGUGAAUUACUAGUUACUUUACUUGAUUUUGUCAUGCCAUUUUUCUCUUUGAGUUUUGGCCUUUCUGAAUUAACUUUUGAAUCACGUAGUGAAGCAUUUCUGAUGGUUCUUAUGACUAACAGUAAGUUCUCUUAUACAAGCUCCCCUACAUAUGCAUUUCUUAAACUUAUGCUCUUUUCUUCAUUUCAGUUGGUUGUUAAUCUUGAUAUAACCAUGCACAAAUACUAAUACUAAGGGACCUUGUAAUUUUGCCUGCCAUUGGAACUACUCUGAAAUAUUGCUGAUUUUUCUCAGCAAUUAAAGAGGAAGAGCGCAGCAGACAAAAAUGAAGUUUUGUCUAGCCAACAUAAUACAAGAUGUGCUAUUCAACUUGUAGUUUGAUGUGUGCCAACAUAAGCAUCAACACACAAGUCAUACGUAUAUACAGCCAGGAAACCAACAUCUUUUGGAAGAGUCCUAAUCCAAGCAUCAUAAUUGAACAUAGUCUUGGAAUACUGUCUAAAAAAAUGGUUGUCUCAUAAUCAAUUGUGCAUCCCUGCAUUUGAAUGCUGUUUCAAACACUAAAAAAACAUAAAUGUGUUUUUUUCUGAGUUGACACUUAUUAUGCAACAAGGAAAACAAAGAGCACAAUUAAGAUGUUUACACAGUUCAAAACUAGUCCUACAUCUGCGGGGCCUUACCCAAAGAUGAAAACACUAUGAACUUCAUAGUACAAAGAAAUGAUUUAAGCCUAACCUCUCUAACACUUGAUGCAAUCUCAACUUCAACCUCACCACCAAAUAUUCCGAAGCAUCUUCCUUUUUUUCCUGUUUGGACCUUCAAUAACAAAUUUGGCUGGAACUCCAAACAGCUAAAAGAGUGCCCUGCAUCAAUAAAUAUUAUGAAUUUGAAUACCUCCAAAAGCCAGUUACCAUCUAAGAUAGUAAUCAGUUGGCAUAUAUUAAGAGAAAACAUAAAUACAUAUAAAGAUAUGAUAUGUAAGUACUUAAAUGAAGAAAGCAGAGCAUAUAGUACAACCAUUUUGCAGGCUUCAUAGGCCUCUCUCUCCACAUCAAUGAUUUUUUAGAAUUAAAUUAUUAGAAGCAAUCGUCAAGUUAUUAUUAUGAUUUAAAAGUAAAAAGAAAGUAGAUAAAUUAGCACCUCUUUUUAUGCAUAUAAAAUGAUUGAAGUUCACUAAUGCCUUUCUCCAAUGCCUUACUGCACAAAUCAGCAAAAAAUAUUAUGAAAGAUGAUAAGUAAAAAGUAGGAUGAAAACAAAGGGAUUUUAACAAGGAAAUUAACAGUAUCCAACUUCAAUGAAAAAUGGCAUCAGACCCCUCACUUGGAGAUUCAAUAUACCACUCUUAUUUUUCUUCAAAAAAAGAUAAGGUCAUCAUAAUAAAUAAAUAACAAAGACAGACCAACCUGAUACAUCCGAAUGUUGGGGAUGUGAGCAAUCUUUUGCCAAUCAGCGCCAAUGUCCUUCCGAUAUCUUUCCUCCAACUGAGGAAUUUCUCGUAUUUGUAAAUACUCCAAACCGGUUAGGCAACGCAUCUCGUCCGGAAGAGAUGUUAAAUUGGGCAAAUUGACGAGAUAAAGCUCUUGCAGAUUUGUUAGAUGUUGAAGCCACUCCGGAAGAUGCCGACACUUUGGAAUAUUUAGCAGCCGUAGAGAGCGUAGACUUGUAUGAUCUUGGAAUAUUUGGAUGCCAGCUCCAGAUAACUCCAGCUCCUUGCAGUCCUUUACUUCAAACUCUUCAAGGAAAGUGAGAUGUUGGAACACAGGAAAGAGUGACCUCAAUCCAUGGCAUUCACGAAUUUCUAAUGUUUUCAAUUGAACAAGAUGUUGAAGAGAAAUGAGGAGAGACACCAGCUUUGGAAUAUUAUCAAUCUUCAAUUGAGAGAGAUUCUUAAGGGGUUCCCAUUGCAUGCCCUCUAAAUCAACCUCCUUGCAAUCUCUUAUUGUUAAUCUUUUGAGGCUGGUGAGAUGUUCAAACACAGGAAGCAGUGACCUCAAUCGAUUGCAGUUCUGAAUUUUUAAUGUUUCCAAUUGAACAAGAUGUUGAAGAGAAAUGGGGAGAGACACCAGCUUUGGAAUAUUAUCAAUCUUCAAAUGAGAGAGAUUCUUAAGUGGUUCCCAUUGCAUGCCCUCUAAAUCAACCUCCUUGCAAUCUCUUAUUGUUAAUCUUUUGAGGCUGGUGAGAUGUUGCAGGCACUCAUCUAGCAUGUGAGUGUCCAGCCCCUCAAUGUUGUGUACAUGGAAAGAUUUCAAUUUGGAGAGUGGAAGAGAAGAGGUUGAAGUUGAUGGGGCCUUAGCAUUGAUGUUCAUCUUGAUAGUCUGCUUUAACGACCUUGAACUGGUAUUCGACAACAUUAGAUCUUCAUCGAGUGAUGGAUACAGUGGCAUCAAAGUCAAAGGGCAAUUUACAAUCCAUAAAGAGGAAAGACAAGGAAAUGCCAUGGUUGAUGUUCCCAUAACUGUUGUGUCGUCCUCGUUGGAAUCAUCAUCGAUUGGUUUUGUUGUCCUCCACCAACUCUUCAUAUUUGGGCAAUUCUCGAGGUGAAGACGCUUAAGCGAUGGGAAGAAUGAGUUAAUCUCACCACCAACAUUAUUUUUAAUUUUACUAGAAUUGAUCCAAUUAUACAUCCAAAGAAAACCAUAAACUUAUCUAAAUACAAAUAAAACUAUUAAAAAAACUUAUUUAGACAUAAAUUGAAAAAUAAAUUUUAUUAUUUCACACAGUAAAAAUAUAAUUACUUGCUUGAUUUAACCCAUUCAAUUUGGUCAGAUUGAAGGUUAUUCUUUGAUAAGAUAUUAUUAUUAUUAUUUGCUUUGGGCAAACUUAAUACAACUUGAUUUACUCUUUAUUAAUUAAAAGCAUUUUAUUUAUAUUUAAUUAUAAAAAUGUGUAUAUAUUAUUAAAAUAUUAUUUUUUAAUAUUAAAUGAAUAGUGAAAUAAGGUCAACUUAUAAGGGUUAAAGUAUUUAGGAAGUCCCUAUAUUAUAGACUGUAUCAAGUUAGUCUCUCAAUUUAAAAAGAAUCAAAUUAUAUCAAAUUGUAACAGAGUUAACAAUUUUCAAUACAUUUUUUAUGCAAUAAAUGUUAACUUUGUUGUAAUUUGGUUUUAUUUGAUUCUUUUUAAUAGUAUAGAGACUAAAUUGACCAUUUAAUAAUAAAGGGACUAAUUUGAUGUAGUCCCUAUAAUAGAGGUACUUUCACCCUUAUAUAUGUGCUUGAAUCUUAUUUUGGAUGAAAUUGAACAAAUGAAAAAGAUAAGAGUUGAAAAAGGUAAAAAUAAAUGAAAUUAGCACAUUAAAUUGUAAUUAUAUACAAAAGAUUCUUAGGUAUGAGUAGGAAAAUGGAUGCCAAACAUAUCGUAAGAUAAGAUGAAGCUUCAAUUUUGGUUUGCUGACAAUCUUCUUUUUUGGAAGUCAUAUCAAUUACGACUGUUUGAAUUUUUAACAUCUAGAGAUGAUUGUCAAAAUAUUAUACUAACAAAUUAGCCAUAAUCACUUAUUUAGCUCUCCAACUUUACAAUAAAAAUCAUUUUAGCUCUUCAAUUAAAUUUUUGUCUCUUUUAGUCCUUAACCUUGCAUUAAUGUUUAUCUAUUUUAGAGUGAUCUGAUAAAUAAUGCAAGUUUAAGGACUAAAUCGAUUUUUCAUAAAGUUAAAUAUAAUAGAGAAUUUAAAAACAAAUGAAAAUAUUUAUAUUUUAUUUUAUAUUUGUUUAAGUUCGGCCUGGUCCAAAAUAUAAACUUAAAAAAUCUGUUUAAAUUUGUAAACAGCUAACUCAAACUCAUUUUAAAUCCACUCGUUCUAUUUUUUUAAAAAAAUUAAAAUGUAUUUAUAUUAUUUUUAACUUAAUAUUUAAUAAUUUUAUAUUUUUAUUAAAAUUUUAUAUAUAGUCAUCUUAAUAUUAAUAAUUUUAUUUUUAAUAGUUUUAUUAAAAUUAAAACCUUGACCAGGACAACAUCAGUAUGUGAAUUUAGUUUCGUAUUUAUUUAAUUUGGUUAGCACAUAUUAAUAGUUUUCAUAGUCUCUUUAGUUUUUGUUUUUUUGGGAUUGUGUAAAAUUUAAAAUUUUAGAUAUUUUUAUGUUCAUAUUUUCUUUUAUAAAUAUAUAUAUUGUAAGCUCUCACUAAUUUUUUCAAGCUUUUAGGAGUUCCUUCUAUUGAAGCAAUAUCAUGAUCAAAUCUAUAAUCAGUAUAUAUGAGAAAGAAAAAAAAUAUAAAAUAAAAUAAAUUAAAAAUUAAAAAUAGACUUGGACACUUAUGGAUGUUAAAUUUAUAAUAAGUUCAAGUAAAAUGGCUAAAAUAAUCAAACUACCGUCUAACUCAUGCUAUGAAAACAUAUAAUCACAGUUAAAAAAAUAUUGUAUAUUUUGAUGAAAGUCACAAUUUAUCUUUGGUCAUGCUUGUUCGCAACUAAACCGCUAUAAUGUAACUACAUGUUCUUACAAAUCUCGCGCUAGUCGACUUUGCCCUAUGAUCCAUUAGUCAAAGGUAUUUAUCCGAUUGAUUUGUCAGUUUUACCUUUUUUAUACUUUUAAGUAAAUGUGUACGAAGUGUGUGAGUUCCAAGUUAUACUGUAACAAAAAUUGAAAAUACCUGACAAGACCAAAAUGAAACAAUUAAUACCCAAAAUUUUAUUCUUCAAUAUAGAAACUAAUGCACAACGAAAAUAAAGUUAGUAAAUUAGUAGGAGAUAAAAGAAGGGUAUAGAUGUUUUGUAAGAAGCUAAAAAGGGUUGUAAUUGUUGCAGGGCAUCCAUAUUGUCAUAUCCUCAACACUUGGUAAUUGAAUGGAGCUAAGCUAAGCAUUCAUUACUCUUGGAAUUGCUCAAUGGGUGUUGCGUGAGGCCCUUUCAUUAAAUCAUAGUCCACAUAAUGUACACAAAAUGGCUUGAUGGAGGGGCGAGAUACAACUAAAAAUAUGUCAGGGGAUAAAGCUAAUAAUUUAAGAAUUUUAUUUAACAAUUAAUGAAUCAAACGAUAUCAUAUUAUUAUAUUUUUAAUGAAUAAAUAAUUUAUUGUUUUAAUAAAGUGAUAUUAUGUGUGUAUAAUAUAAUUAUAUGAUACAUCAAAUAUAAAUCAUUAAUUUAUAUACUUAAAAGUGUGUUUUGUUAAUCUAAUGUGUUUAAAAAAGAAAGAAGAAAUAAUCCUCUUAAAUUUUAUAAUCUCGUCGUGUUUUUAAUAUGUUAGAAUCAAGUUACCAAUAUGAUGAGUACACAAGUAUUUACAAUUUAAUCAUGUCAAAUGAGAACAAAAUUUAAAACUUAAAUUGACAGCUACAAAUGAAAUAAUUUUAUUGAUAUAAUAUAAUACUUUCAAAUUUUAAUUAAAAUAUUUUAGAAUUAUAAAUUAAUUUUUAAAAAUUAAUAAUAAAUUGAGAAUAUUUAAUACAAAUAACUUCGUAUAUGAAUAUAAAUAGUUAUAACACAUUUAUUAUUAAAUGAAAAUAAUGUUGAGAAUCAAGUUACCAAUAUGAUGAGUACACAAGUAUUUACAAUUUAAUCCAUGUCAAAUGAGAACAAAAAUUAAAACUUAAAUUGACAGCUACAAAAAUGAAAUAAUUUUAUUGAUAUAAUAUUAAUACUUUCAAAUUUUAAUUAAAAUAUUUUAGAAUUUAUAAAUUAAUUUUUAAAAAAUUAAUUAAUAAAUUGAGAAUAUUUAAUACAAAUAACUUCGUAUAUGAAUAUAAAUAGUUAUAACACAUUUAUUAUUAAAUGAAAAUAAUGUUGUUUGGAGUUUUCUAUUUUUUCAUUAGCCAACUGAUGAUAAAAAUGAUAAAAUUGAAUCGUUGGGGUGACUACUAAGUAGGUUACCUUUUUUUAGGUUAAAAUAUGCCAUAUGUCCUUGUACUCACCAUAAAUUUGAAAUUUAAUCUCUAUACUUGUAUUUAUAGGAAUUUAAUUCUUUUACUUUUCAGAGUUCAAAUUUUAGGUCCAAUUGUUAAUACUGUUAAUUUUUUUUGUUGAAUUUGUUAGUGUGACUGUUUGAAAUAAAAAAAAACUUACUUGGUAGCCAUGUAACUAAGAAUAUGACAUUUUAAUGAACCUGAAUUUAAUAAAAUAAUUUUAACAGUAUUAACAGUUGGACUUGAAUUUUAAAAUUUAAAAAGUAUAGGGACUAAAUUCUUUAAAAUAAAAAUAUACAAACUAAAUUCUAAACUUACAAAUAUAUAUAUAUAGGACUUGGGGGAUUUUAAUUUUGUUAUGGUAAAUAAGGGGAAAUAGAGAAAAAAAAAAAGGCAAUUAAUAUGUGAACAAAAUCUACAUGUUUGCAAUUUCUAGAUAAUUUUGUGAUUAAUAGAAAUUAUUUUUCGAUUCAUUAAGGUUAAAAUUUUUUCAGAAUUUUUAUAGCAGAAUUUAAACCUUAUUUCUUCAAUUCUUGCAUCUUCGAUUAAGGUCCACUUAGCAAUACAAUUUUAGAGAUUAAAAAAGUUACAUUUCCAUAUAAUGUUUCUUGAGAAAUUUUUUUUCUUUUUCAAAGUUUCAUUAAUAUACAUGCAUUGUACGUGAUUUAUAUAUUUAUUUUUAUUCACUAAAUAAUAUAUUUUUAUUUGAUGUAAUUAAUGCAAAAAUAAUAUUAUUCAAAUUGUGGUACAUAAUUAAAAUAGUGCAACAAUAACAAAUUCAAACAUAAAAGUUUGAAAGUAAAUAAUAAUGAAAUAAAUUUUUUAGUUAUUUUAACUACUAAUUUAAUAAAAAAAUUUAAAACAUACAAUUCUUCUGUAUAUUUUAUAAUUUUAUAAUUUUAAUUUUUUUAAUAUAAACGUAGUUUUGAUAUUUUUAAUUAUUAUUUAAAAUUUUUUAUUUUAAAUAUAUUCUUAAUUAUUUAUUUUACACAUACAUACAUUUUAACUUAAUGUUCUUAAUAGUAAUUUUCUAUUUUUAUUCCAUUGCUACAUUUGCAUUUGAAUUUAAAUACAUAUUUCACAAUUAACAUUAAUCUCACCGCUACAAUAUUCAAACUCACUAAAUUACUUAUUUAACACUAUUAUAAAAAUAUAUAUAAAUAUUACUAAAUUAUCAAUUUUUAAUAUUAAAAGAACAAUGAAAUAGGGUCAGCGUGAAGAAAACUUAAAAAAAAAUUUGUACCCUAACCAAAUUAUAGACAAGUCUAUUGAUUAAUUUUUAAAAAAUAAUAUUUUAGCUUAUAUAAGAGUUAAAAUAUUUGGAAAGUUUAAAAUUAGUCUCUCUAUUAUUAAAUGGACCAAUUUUAUCACAGUACUAUUAAAAAGAACUAAAUAAGGUUAAAUUGUAACAGAUUUAACAUUAAUAGAAUUAACAAAUUUCAAUAUAUUUUUUAUAAAAUAAAUGUUGACUUUGUUAUAAUUUAACUUUAUUUGUAUGCAGUCCCUAUAGUACCGGUACUUUAACCCUUAUAUAUAUGUUUGAAGUUUAUUUUAGGAUGAAAUUGGAAAAUUGAAAAAAGUAAGAGUUCAAAAAGUAAAAACAAACGAAAUUAGCACAUUAACUUACAAAAUAUAUUUUUUAUAAAAUAAAUGUGUUUGGAACAUUAAAAAUGUGUUUUUUUUCCUGAGUUGGUACAUAUUAUUUCAAUUUUGAUGAGAAUUGUACUCUCACUUAACGCUUCAUGUCAUUCGCUUUUUCUUUUCUUUCCCUUUUUUUUUUUUUGUGUGAGAUCUUUUGAUCUGUUCUCAAAUAGAGCUUUUCAUGGUGGCUAAGUUUCUUACGGGAUAAAUUAUGAGUAGCAUUAUUUGUUUCUGCAUUGAAAUUGUGAUGUCUGUAUUUUAAUCUGUGAGGUAUUUCCGUUUGUGAUGAUGUAUUUGAUGAUAUAGUGGAAUUUUGGUAGAUUAAAGUGCUCGUUUGCUGUACUAAGUUGAAAUUGAAUGAAUGCUGGCCUCAUCCAAUGUCCAAAACUUGAUGACUUCAACAUUUUGAUGCCUUAAUUUGAGAAGACUAAGUUAGAGUACUAUAAAACUUUCUAAGAAUGCUGAUGAGGCAUAGAUCUAGUGAUAUAAUAUAAUUGCAAUUGAUAGUAUGGAGAAACCUAAGUUUUAGUACCAUCAAAUAAAAUUGCUAUUGCUAGUAUGUUUGUUUUAUGUAAUAUAAAGCCAUAGUAAGAGAGGAAGGCUAUGUUAUGCUAUUCCAUUCUCGGUUUAAAGCUGAACAUUUAAUGCCGUGCUCUAUAUGAAGAAAGGUUGAUGGGUGUUAGUUCUUUUGAUGUUUUGUCUUUGAUGGAUGUUUGAAAAAUGAUUCAGUUGAUAUUCAUAAUGUCUAUCCCUACAGUUUCCCCCUUAUGUAUAAUGACUGCUAGUUUGUCGGUCUUCGUAUAUUAUAUUCCUUUUGUGUGAAAUUCCAAACUGCGUAAACAUCUUAAUUGUGUUCUUUAUUUUCCUUGUUGCAUAAUAUGUACCAACUCAGGAAAACACACAUUUUUAAUGUUCCAAACAUCAAUGCUUGAGCUAAGGAAAUCAAAGUCUCCUAGGAGGAUUCUAGCCCAUCAAUUCCCUCUAUAUAUCAACAAUGAACCUGCAAACUGUAAAUAUCAAUAUACAGUAUGAUAAAAUUGAUCUCGUAUAGACCGAGCAGUGUCCAAAUGUAGAAGAAGCACUUACUGUUACUAAAAACAUAACUCCAUAUUUUGUGCACAAAUGGUGGCCAAACACAUAUCCGUUGUCUAUGCUUUUUGAUUCCAAGUUUAAGAAAGGGCCAAACAUUGGGCGUCCUCAUCCUCAUCUGUAAUAGUAACAAAUUCACAUUCCCAUUCCAAGUUUAAGGAAAUGCCAUGGUAACAAAUUCACAUAACUGUUGUGUCGUCCUCGUUGGAAUCAUCAUCGAUUGGCUUUGUCGUCCUCCACCAACUCUUCAUAUUUGGGCAAUCCCGUAGGCAAAGAUGCUUAAGUGAUGGGAAGAAUGAUUGUGGUUCUCCUUGACUUCCUUUUGGGCUAUUAUCAUCCAUGUACUCCAGCUUAGUACAAUCAUAUAUCUCCAGCCCUUUAAGACAAGGAAAUUGCGCAAAGGACGGGAUUUGUUUGAAAUUACUACCACUUAUGUCAAUUGUGACGAGAUUUUUGAGCAAAGGAAGCCAACUUGGAAACUUGCCAUCACCCCUCCAUCCUGCAAUACAGAGCUCCUUGAGAUUAGGAUGGGGCUGGAGGUCUUCAAGUGACUUCUCAUCGUCAUCAUCAAAACGAAGGCUCCAUUCUAAAAGCAACGAUCUCAAAUGUUGCUUCUCUUUCAAAUUAGCAGCCUUAAACUUCUCUUUUGCAUUUUUUACGAAUCCCAAAUUUGUUAUUUGUAGACGUCCCCUUAAGUUGUUAAGCAGUCUCAAUUCACUUAGAUCUGCACCGCCAUGGGACCCAUCUUUAUCCACUACAAACAUGCUUAACGUCUCAAGUGAAGUCAGCUUCCCUAUUCCACGUGGCAUAUGAGUUAAACUAAAACACUACGACACCCAAUAUGGGUAAGAUUCACCAAUUCUUCAAUCUUCUUUGGCAAUUCUUUAAGCCCAAAACAGCAGUCAAGUUUCAGCGCUAGCAAAUUCUGAAUCUUGCAAGUACUCUUUGGGAGAAUCUUAAUAUUGUAAUUGGAAGAAAGGUCAAGGUACCUCAAAUGUUUCAACUUACAAAUGGAGGGUGAAAUCUUUUGAAUACCUAUAGAAUAUAAUUUCAAUACACGCAAGCAUCUACAAUUUGCAAUUAUCAAAUCCCAACUUUCUUCACUAAAAUCUUGAUAUAUGCUGUUUGGAAAGUGUAACAAGGUUCGCAACUUCUUUCCCUUAAACAAAGGAAUUAAUGAAGGAAUUAAUAAAGGAUUAAUUGAUAUGUGGCGACAUUUUUCACCAACAUCACCUGCAAUUUUAUUUGAAUCUACAAUACUACUCUCCAUCCCUGCUACUGAUUCAGCUAGAUCUUGCAUUAAAUCAUGCAUUUUACAUCUCAUAUCCCCAAUUCCAUAUUCUUCUACCUCUUGAAAGAAACUCCUGUCAACUAAAUCUUUAAAAUACCCAAACCCGAUCUCCUCCAGAGAUUGACUUUGAUUCAAUUGCUUUAUGAAACCCUGUGCAAUCCAAAAUUGAACAAGCGCUUGCACUUGAAUUGUGUAAUCUGUUGGAUACAGUCGGCAAUAAGCAAAGCAAUGCUUCAAAUGAGACGGGAGAUGAUCAUAACUCAAUUUCAGUAUAGGUAGAAUUUCUCCUUCAAUUUGUGAAAUUUUAGCAAGUUCAUUUUCUUUGAAAGAAUGCCACUCAUUUGCAGUUUUCUUCUAAGAUAAUGUACCAGCUAUCGUCCUUAUGGCUAAGAGAACCCCACCACACCUUUCCGAAAUCUGUCUCCCUACUUCCACAAAGGCUGAAUUUGUUGAGUCUGCAUAUCCUUGCUCAAAUGCUAUCUUUUUGAACAAAGACCAAGCAUCAUCAUCAGACAAGCCUUUCAAUUUCAAAACAUGGGAUUGACAUUUAUUAGUUAUCUCCGCUACCCUUAGAGAUCGAGUAGUUACUAUUAUCCUACUCCCUUUAGCCCCACCCAUCAAUAACUUCUUUAGCCUAGAUGUUGAAGUCAGCUCCCAUAUAGCAGCAAAGGUGGCCAUGCAAGGAACGUGCUUCAGCAGCAAAUUGAUGCAGCAAGCUGAAGCUAUUCAUUUGGUUUCCUUAAUUGAAUGUUUUGUAUUUAGUUAGGAUCAAACUUAGUUGGUAGCUGCAUUUUGAUGUAAUUAGGUGCUGAAUGACAAGCUUAGGUAGAAGCUUUUUUGUUUUUCAAUCAAGUUUACCAAGUUACUAGGCAUUUUAGUGGUGUUAGGUAUGUUAGUAGGUGAUUACUUGUUUGUUUUACUUAUUGACUGAUAUAUGUAAUGGCUUAAUGCCUUGUUCAUGUGUUAAUGAAAAAUAUCAGCUCAUUUUCAUUCAAUCUCUUUCUCUCUUUUCUGUUUUCACUUGCUAGCUUCAUCUUUCUAUUUUUUCUGCUUCCGAGUUUGCUUCUUCACCAAGCCUCGAGCCUUACUACUCAAGCAAGACUAGAAACAGCUUGCUGCUGCCUCUUGCACCAACAAUUGGUAUCGAGAGCUCUUGUCUUAGUGGACCUGUUGCUUCAAAACAAAGAACUUGAUGGCUUCUUCAGGAUUUUCACCAGCAGCCCCACCAGUCUUCAAUGGAGAAGGCUUUCACAUAUGGCUGGUCAAGAUGAAGACUUACCUACAGGCUUUUGAUCUGUGGGAAGUUGUCAACACAGAUACUGAGCCAGCACCACUGAGGGCUAAUCCCACAGUAGCUCAGAUUAGGCAACAUGCUGAUGAGAGGACCAAAAGGCACAAAGCCAUGUCCUGCAUCCAGAACUGUGUGUCAGAUGUCAUCUUCACCAGAAUCAUGGCCUGUGAGACUCCAAAACAGGCCUGGGAUAAGCUUAAGGAGGAGUUUCAAGGCACUGAGAGAACAAGGCAACAGCAGCUGCUAAACUUGAGAAGGGAUUUCGAGAAUUUGAAGAUGAAGGAAGAAGAAACAGUGAAGCAGUACUCAGAUAGAAUUAUGGCAGUGGUUAACAGCAUAAGGCUCCUAGGUGAGCACUUUGAUGAGGCAAGAAUUGUGGAGAAAGUCCUCUCCACUUUGCCUGAGAGAUAUGAGGCCAAGAUAUCCUCUCUAGAGGACUCAAGAGAUCUUGCUAGCAUCUCUUUGACUGAGCUAAUCAACACCUUUUAUGCUCAGGAACAAAGAAGAGCUAGCAGAGCUGAAGAUCACCAAGAAGGUGCAUUUCAAGCCAAGGCCAGAGAAACCUCGAGCACUAAUGCUCAAAGAGGCAAAAGGCCUUGGAAAAACAGGCCUAAGCCUGAUGCUGCAAGGAGCAAUGACCAGCCCUGCAAAUAUUGCAAGAAGCCUGGCCAUCCAGAAGACAGAUGCUGGUUUAGGCCAGAUGCAGUAUGCCAACACUGCAAGAAGAAGGGCCAUGUUGAAAGGGUCUGCAAAAACAGAAGUAAGCCAAGGCAGAAUCAAUUUCAGCAGUCAAAGGUUGAAGCUCGAGUAGCUGAGGACAGUAGUGACCAAGAAGAACAGGUCUUUGCUGUUUCCUGUGUAGCUUCUGAGAAGAAAUGCUCUAAAGGCUGGCUGCUGGACAGUGGUUGCACUAACCACAUGUCACCAGAUGCCUCCUUGUUUAAAACCUUGGACAGAAGUUAUAAAACCAAGGUCAAGGUUGGACAUGGUCAGUUUAUAAGGGCUGAAGGAAGAGGAGAAGUGCUGAUAUCUACUCCCACAGGCAACAAGAUCAUUCCAAAUGUGCUGUUGGUACCACAGAUUGACAGAAACCUUCUCAGCAUAGCUCAACUGCUCGAGAAAGGUUAUUCUGUUGUGUUCAAGGAUAAACAAUGCCAUAUUACUGAUCCAAGUGGAUCAAGCCUUAUGACAGUCACAAUGACUGAUAAAUGCUUUGAGGUUCACUGGGCAAAUGACUCAAACUCAGCAUACACAGCCUCUGUUGAAGACUCCAAGCUUUGGCAUCAAAGGCUUGGACAUGCCAACUUCAGAUCAAUGGCUCGAUUGGCCAAAGAGGGCAUGGCAGAGAACUUCACCAGCUCAGUGGAGCAUGAUGAUGUGUGUGAAGUCUGCCAAAUGGGGAAACAGGCAAGACUGCCAUUUCCUACAAAUUCAGCUUGGAGAGCUACUGAAAGACUACAGCUGGUGCACUCUGAUGUAUGUGGCCCGAUGAGGACUGAAUCACUCAGCAAAAACAGGUAUCUCAUCCUCUUUAUUGAUGAUCUUACAAGGUUUUGCUGGAUUUUCUUUUUAAAACACAAGUCUGAGGUAGCUCAAGUGUUUGUGAAGUUUAAAAAUGCUGUAGAAACAGAAACAGGUUGCAAGCUGAAAUCGAUAAGGACAGACAAUGGCACUGAGUACACUUCAGCUCAGUUUCAAGCCAUUUGCAAUGAUGCUGGUAUCAAACAUCAGCUUACAAAUGUCUACACACCUCAGCAGAAUGGGGUAGCUGAAAGAAAGAAUAGAAGUCUGAUGGAUAUGGCCAGAUGUCUGCUGUUUGAGAAGAAACUGCCCAAGACCAUGUGGGCUGAGGCAGUAAACACUGCUGUUUACCUUCAGAACAGGCUUCCCACUAAAGCUCUUGCAUCCGAGACACCUUUUGAGGCUUGGUUUGGUUUCAAGCCUUCCUUGGCACACCUGAAGGUGUUUGGUUGCCUGUGUUAUGCACAAAUACCAGCAGCAAAGAGAGACAAGCUCUCUAAAAGGGCUCAACCAGGUGUUCUAGUAGGCUACAGCUCAGUCAAAAAGGGCUACAGGGUUCUGGAUCCCUUGACAAACAAAGUCCAAGUGAGCAGAGAUGUCAUCUUUGAUGAAAAAGCCUGCUGGAAUUGGGAGAAAAAUGAGCCAGAAGCAAUUUCAGAAGACCUAGUGACUAAUCAAGCUGAACUUGAGCAGCUAGAACCUGAAAUGGAUGUUGAUGAUGUGCCUGUGAGAGGCACAAGGCCCCUAGAAGAUAUUUAUGAAAGGGCACAGGUUGCAUUAGCAGAACCUAGCAGUUUUGAAGAGGCUGAGGCAGAUGAAGGUUGGAAACAAGCUAUGGUUGAUGAAAUCAACAUGAUUGUAAAGAAUCAGACAUGGGAGUUGGUUGAAAAGCCUGCCAACAGAAAGACUAUCAGUGUAAAAUGGGUCUAUCGAGUGAAGCACAAUGCAGAUGGAAGCUUAAACAAGCUAAAGGCCAGGCUAGUUGUAAAGGGCUUCAGUCAAAGGUAUGGUCUGGACUACAUGGAAACAUUUGCUCCAGUAGCCAGACUCGAUACAAUCAGAUUGCUGAUUGCAGUUGCUGCUCAGAACCAGUGGACAAUCCACCAAAUGGAUGUCAAGUCUGCAUUCCUCAAUGGAUUUCUAGAAGAAGAGAUAUACAUCGAGCAACCCCCAGGUUUUAUAAUGCCUGGUAAGGAACAAUUGGUGUAUAGGCUAAGAAAGGCCUUGUAUGGCCUAAAACAGGCCCCUCGAGCCUGGUAUGCUCGAAUUGACUCAUAUUUGGUCAGUUUGGGAUUUGAAAGGAGUGCUAGUGAGCCAACACUCUAUGUUAAGAAGAAUGGAGCUGAAACACAGCUUAUUGUGUCACUAUAUGUUGAUGAUCUUCUCGUGACUGGAGGAGACAAGCUUAUGAUGGUUGAUUUCAAAGCAAGAAUGAAGAAAAUGUUUGAGAUGUCAGACCUGGGAUUGAUGACAUAUUUCCUAGGAAUGGAAGUCAAUCAAAUAGAAGGAGGAAUCUUCUUGAAACAAAAGACAUUUGCCUUGAAAGUGCUGGCUAAAUUCUCAAUGGAGAAUUGUAAACCAGUGAGCACACCAAUGGCUAUUGGCAUAAAGCUAUCGAGCCAGGAGGAACAUGAAUCUGUCUGUGAAACAGAUUACAGAAGCCUUGUUGGGUGUUUAUUGUAUUUGACAGCAACAAGACCCGACAUUUUGUUUGCUGUAAGCAUGCUAUCAAGGUUCAUGCACUGCUGUAACCAGCAACAUUACAAGGCUGGGAAAAGGGUGCUAAGAUACAUUAAAGGUACCUUAAACCAUGGAAUACAGUUUAGAAAGGCUGAAGAGUUGAAACUGAUUGGCUACACUGAUAGCGAUUGGGCUGGUUCAAAGGAUGACAUGAAGAGCACUUCUGGCUAUGCUUUUACACUUGGCUCAGCUAUGAUUUGUUGGAGCUCAAGAAAACAAACAAUGGUGGCUCAAUCGACAGCAGAAGCAGAGUAUGUAGCAGCUGCCAAUGCUGUUAAUCAAGCCAUGUGGCUGAGAAAAAUUUUGAGUGACUUGAAUCUACAGCAGAAUGAAGCAACUGUGAUACAUUGUGACAACAAGUCAGCAGUUGCUAUUGCUAAAAAUCCUGUCUUUCAUGGCAGGACAAAACAUUUCAACAUCAAACUCCAUGUGAUAAGAGAAAUGGAACAAGCUCGAGAAAUUGAGCUAAUCCAUUGCAGUUCUGAAAAUCAGAUUGCCGAUAUCUUCACAAAGCCUAUUGGUGUAUCAAGAUAUCUAAGCCUGAAGAGGAAGCUAGGAGUCUGCUGCAUAGAAGCUGAGGAGGAGUGUUGAAGUCAGCUCCCAUAUAGCAGCAAAGGUGGCCAUGCAAGGAACGUGCUUCAGCAGCAAAUUGAUGCAGCAAGCUGAAGCUAUUCAUUUGGUUUCCUUAAUUGAAUGUUUUGUAUUUAGUUAGGAUCAAACUUAGUUGGUAGCUGCAUUUUGAUGUAAUUAGGUGCUGAAUGACAAGCUUAGGUAGAAGCUUUUUUGUUUUUCAAUCAAGUUUACCAAGUUACUAGGCAUUUUAGUGGUGUUAGGUAUGUUAGUAGGUGAUUACUUGUUUGUUUUACUUAUUGACUGAUAUAUGUAAUGGCUUAAUGCCUUGUUCAUGUGUUAAUGAAAAAUAUCAGCUCAUUUUCAUUCAAUCUCUUUCUCUCUUUUCUGUUUUCACUUGCUAGCUUCAUCUUUCUGUUUUUUCUGCUUCCGAGUUUGCUUCUUCACCAAGCCUCGAGCCUUACUACUCAAGCAAGACUAGAAACAGCUUGCUGCUGCCUCUUGCACCAACACUAGACCACCUUUCUGGGUCCUCAUUCCAAAUGUCAUCCAAAACAAGCAAAUAUUUUUUCCCAUCAAUUUUAUCUCGAAGUUGUUUUUGCAGUUGAUCCAUUUCAAGAUUUUGAUCAGGUGCUUGAUGAGUCACAGAUUUGAUAAUGUUUGCUACAAUAACUUUCACAUCAAAAUCAUCUGAAACACACGCAAACAUCGUUAAGUCAAUUGAAGCUAAUCUCGCCAUAAUGGCCUUCAUUUUCCGACCCAUUUUGAGACCAUAAGCAAAUUGGUUUGAGCUCGAGAAGAAAAGGCGUACCUCUUUCGUCAGCUUGUUCCCACCCAUUAGAUCUUUCCGCAAAGCUUCGGUAGAGAAAUCAUCGAGCAAGUCGUCAGCAUCGUAAAGUACAUCUUUCAGCUUUUCAAGCCAAUCUUUGACGAGAUGGCUGGUCACGGAUCGCUCUUCUGCGUCAAGAAGCACAGCUUUGAUUGUAGAGACGGUGCUUUUGAGGUCGUCAAGGUCAUGUUUUAGAUUCCACCACAGCCCAACUUGAGAGAGAGCACGAGAGCUCAACUUAAUAAUGAGCUCUGCGGCAAUGUCGAAAGCAAUUGCUUCGGCCAUUGUUGGUUCGAACUGAAAUCAAGGCAAAAAGUGUUUGAUUCGUGAGAGAGGACUAAAAUGAGAAUGAUCCCAGCAAGAUGAAACACAGAUGUGGAUCCAUCCACCCAGCAAGUAGUAUAAUUAAAUAAAAAGUAAUGUUGAUUGGUGGGAAAUGGUCCGUCCAUGUUUACUGUUUGACACAAAUUUCUGAAUGGAGACAAAGUUGAGAUGAUGGCACUAGGGGUGCUCUGCACAACGUACAAAUAAUUGAAAUUAAUGAAAAAGGUAUGAAAGAAAAGAGAAAAAGGAGACAAGUCCCAUGGAAUCCAAGGUGUUUUGAUUGAAGUCUUUCUAAACCUUCUUCCCACUUACUUUGUGUAAUUGAGUGAGUCUCAAUACUCGGUUAAAUUCAAUAUUUUAUUUUUGAGUUUAACUUUGGUUGAAUAUAUAAAAUAAAAAUUCAAUAAAACUCAUUCGCCAUUAGAAUCAAAUAUUAUUAAAUUCGAAUCCGAUUAAAUCAAUAAUUUAAACAUAACUUAAUGACUACUAAAUCAAAUUUAAAUCUUUUUUUAAUCGAAUUUAAUUAACUUACAAAUGAUUAUCAUGUCCACCUUUCUCACCCACCUACUUAGCUUUGAUUUUGUCUUUUAAAGUAACUUGGUGUCUAUAAUUAUAUAUUACGACAAUAGUUACUGUUAUAAUUGUUUGUCUAUGCAAUAUAUCAAAGUAAAAUAUAAGAGUUUAACAUUUGUUAACCCUGUUAUAAAAAUUUAAUUUAACUCUUUAAAAAUUAUAAAGAUAUAUUACUAUAAAAAUAUAUAAUUUAAUUCCAACUAAAAUUUUUUUUAGCUUGGCUACUAUUGAAAAAUUAAUUUAGUUUUUGAACACAACAUGUGGAAAGAUAUUGGGUUUAUGUCAGCUCCAUGGGAAUGUAUUUAAUUGGUAUUGAAGGAAAAAUCAUUACUUAUACCAUCAUGAAGAUUGCUUCCACUGCUCAUAUCUAUUUUAUUAUUUUAUUACACAUAAAAUUGUUUUAUUGUGAGUUGGAUGAUUUUGGUUUUUUUUUAAGAUAUUUUAUUUUUAAAUAUAUUUUUAAAUAUUUAUUUUACAUAUACAUGUAUUUUAACUUAAUACAUUUAAUAGUAUUUUUUUAUAAUAAAAAAACCCAAAGGUCGCUACCUCAUUUUAAGUUGCAUCAUAAAUUACAAUGUUAUGAUUAUCGAUCACUAAGAUAAUUCAUCUCAAAAGACAAAUUACUACACUUAGAAAGAGCCCAAUUACAAAGAGAAUCAGCUAAUUUGUUAUAACCACGUUUCACCCAUUUAACCUCGAAAGAAACAAAAGAAUCAAGCAUCUUGUGAGCUCCUUAAUGCAGUGAUCAAGGAUCGUUAUGUCCUCUUUGUGAAAACUAAAGCGGUUGACAAUGCUAGCACAAUCUGUUUCAAAAAUGACAUUAUGUUUAAAGUGUUUAUUAAUUAUUUUGAAAAAUGAAAGUAUAAUAACUUUUUUGGCAUUCCAACUUUAUAAAAGAAUUAUUUUAGCUCUCUAUUUACUUUCAUUUUCUUUUAGUCUUUAAACUUAUAUUUUUUUUUGUCAAACCAUCCAAAAUGGGUGAAAAAGUUAACAUUUGUUAACUUUGUUGACAUGACAUAUAGGUAGAUUACCACGUGUAUGUCACGUUAACAAUUAAUUAUUUUAAAAAAAUAUUUAAAAAUAUUUUUUUGAAUUUUUUUAAAAAAUAAUUAAUUGCUUAUGUGGCAUAUACGUGGCAAUCCGCGUGUAUGUUACAUUAGCAAAAUCAACAUACGUUAAUUUUUCACUCAUUUUGAGGUGAUUUGACAAAAAUUACAAGUUUAAGAACUAAAAGAAACGAAAAGUUAAAUGGAGAGUUGAAAUAACUUUUUCUAUAAAGUUAGAGACCAAAAGAAUCAUUAUUGCAAAAAAAAUAGUUGUUUUUCUUCUCCUUUUUUUUGUAUUUUUAGUGCUAAAAUUCAAGAUGGUGCGGAAUAGUUUUUAAUCUUAUUAUUGUUAUAUAUGUUUUCGACCUCAUUGGAGCUAAUCUCACUGUCUAUAUAAAGAGAGCCUAAAUAUAAUUUGUUCAGCUUCUUUUAAACAAGUUAGUGCUCCUUUGUAUGAUCAUUUACCUCCCAUGAGUAAGGUUGAGUAAAUAAAAUAAAAAAAUACUUGAAAAUUGAUCCAAAUCAAGGUGUUUAGACGGUUUAUGGAAUACAAAUUAAAAAAUCACAAUUAUUCGAAACCGAACCAAAUUCUAUUCUUUAUUUUAAUUUAUAAAUAAAUUUAUUUUUAUAAUAUAAAAAUAAAUAUUUUAUAUUUAAAAAUAGUGAAAAUAAAUAAAUAUAUUUUAAAAAUAUUAUAUAAAAGUAUUUAAUUAUUUUUAUCUACUUAAAAUAAUUUUAAAAAAUAUCUAUGAAAAAAACUUUGAAAAUUUGUCAAAUGAUAUUUAAAAGCCGUAAAAUAAAGUUUAUUUUAUUAAAAUAAUUAUAAAAAUUUAUAAUAACAAAAUCGAACUAAACUAAAUUAUAAUGGACGGAUAAAAAAAUAGAAUUGAAUUAAACUAAUAUCACUUGAUUUUAUUGCACCAAACUGGACAUAAAGGAUCUUCUUAAAAAAUUUAACCUGCAAUGAGAUUGUUUUCCUCACUAUAACCUUCUAGAGGUGUUAUAUAAGUACAUAUCAUAUGAUAAUUAUAAAUUUAAUUAUUUAAUUCUUAUAAAAAUUAAAUAUAUUACAAAUUAAUAUUUAUAUAAUGAUAUAUUAAAUACAUGUAAAUUUAUUAUCAUAAAUAUAUUUUUAAUUAUUAUUUGAUAUAAAUAAUUUUAUUAUAUUUUAUUAUUUUCAUUUAUAUAAAAUAUAGUCCUUGAAUGUUGAAGUCUAAACCCAACCCUUAAACAAAGGAAUUAAAUUUAAAGUUGAGAAAGAUAUGGAUGGUAGUAAUGGGAGCAUAAGCAUGUAGAAGCAAUGCUGGCAUUUCAUCUUAUUAGCAGCUUUGGAAUAGAUUCUUAAGGAUGAGUAGGAAUCUGUAUGCUUUUUUUUUAAUUUUUAUAUUUAAAACAUUAGUUAAUUGCUAAUGUGGCAUCCAUGUGUAUGCCAUGUAAGUUUAAGGACUAAAUUGAUUUUUUCAUAAAGUUAGAAGGUUAAAUAAAUCAUUUGCCAAAAUAUAAUAGAGAACUUAAAAAAAUGAAAAUAUUUAUAUUUUAUUUUAUAUUUGUUUAAGUUUGGCCUGGUCCAAAAUAUAUACUUAAAGUUUGUUCAAAUUUGUAAACCGUUAACUCAAACUCAUUUUAAAUCCACUCAUACUAUUUUUAAAAAAAAAUUAAAUGAAUUUAUAUUAUUUUUAACUUAAUAUUUAAUAAUUUUACAUUUUUAUUAAAAAUUUAUAUAUAGUCAUCUUAAGAUUAUAAUAGUAUUAUAAUUUUUAUUUUUAUUUGUUACAAAUUACAUAACAUAUAAAAUUAACAUAAUAUAAAAUAUUGCUAACUUAAAAAUUGGGUCGGGCCCAACUUAGGCUUUGAAUAUUCAAAUUCAAGCUCGACUCAUAUUUUAAAUGGGCCUAUUUUUUAAAUUUAAUAGUUUUAUCCAAAUCUUCCAAAAUUUCAAAUGAGCCUUUGAGCUUGACAAAGAACAGUAAGUCUCUUUCCCUUUUCUUUCCCUAUUAUUUUGGCUAAACAAUACAGUAAGAUCAGCUGAUGAAGAAUGCAUACAGAUCGACUCUUCAACAAAGAAAAAGAAAGAACAAAUGUGCAUAGAGAGGAGGAUUUCAUGGGAGCACAAUUCCAUGGACAGAUCAGCUGAUGAAGAAUGCAUGUCCUGCUUUUUGGCUCUUCCAUUGAACUCAUGCUGAAAAAGAAGUUGCUUAGUUACGAGGUUACAUUAGAUCAUUUGAAAUUAUGAGAUUAUUAUGAUUUUAAAAAUGUAAAGCAAUUAAGUAAUUACCACCUAUUUGCCUGCAUCUAAAUUCUUAAACAAAUGAGGGUAGAAAGUACGAUCUCUGCUUUUUGUAUUGCAUGCUAUGCUCUGCCGAAGAAUAGAGCCACAAGCUAACAAAAAUGAAGGGUAAAAAGAUUAAUGGAAACCUUGUAGUUUUCAAAGGUGAAUAAAUAAGGACAAUUAAGAUCGGUGUUAACAGUUUUUACUAAUAUUUUGAAAACAUUUGAAAACAUUUUAAAUAAGUUAAUAUAUAUAAUAUAAAAAAUCUAUAAAAAAUUUCAAAAUUCAAUUAUUGUAAUAUAAAACUUUCAUAUCUAAAAACCCUAAAUUAAAUUAAACUAUUUCAAUUGAAUCCAACAAACAAAUUAGACCGAAAACCAAUUAAUAUGAUUGGUUCGGCCACCUAUCUAGUUUUAAAAACCUUAACCAGCACAACAUCAGUAUGUGAAUUUAAUUUCGUAUUUAUUUAAUUUGGUUAGCACAUAUUAAUAGUUUUCAUAUUCUCUUUAGUUUUUGUAUAUUGGGAUUGUGUAAAUUUUAAAAUUUUAGAUAUUUUUAUGUCCAUAUUUUGUUUUAUAAAUAUAUAGGGGUAAGCUCUCACUAAUUUUCUCAAGCUUUUAGGAGUUCCUUCUAUUGAAGCAAUAUCAUGAGCGAAUCUAUAAUCAAUAUAUAUGAGAAAGAAAAAAAAUAUAAAAAAGUAAAAUAAAAAAUGAAAAUAGAUUUGGACACUUAUGGAUGUUAUCAAACUAUUGUCUAACUCGUGUUAUGAAAAAAAAAUCACAAUUAAAAGAAUAUUGUAUGCUUCAAUGAAAGUCACAAUUUAUCUUUGAUCAUGCUUGUUUGCAACUAAGUAGCUAUAAUGUAACUACAUGUUCCUACAAACCUCGCACUAGUCGACUUUGCCCUAUGAUCCAUUAGUCGAAUUUGUGAUGUCUAUAUUUUAAUAUGCGAGGUAUUUAAAGAAAUAGAUACAUCAAUUUAUUUUUGUAGUGGAUAAAUAUAAUUAUUUAUUUACACAAUAUAUAAACAUAAAAUGAUGCCCUAUUAAUAAUUUAUGAAAAUUAGAUCAAAUUAAAAUUUCAUGUAUAAAAUUAUAUGUUAUGCCAAAGUUUAUAUGUAGUUUUGAGAUUUAUCCCAUUUUCCUAUUAACUUAGCCAUUAGCCUGAGCAUUAAAUGUUCGCUCAAAUAUGAUAGGGGACAUACUUAAAACACAUGUGUCCAUGCUAUAUAGGCAACUUUAAUCUAAUUUGUUAAAAGAAGAAGAAGAAGUAAUCCUCUUAAAUUUUAUAAUCUCAGCGUGUUUUUAAUAUGUUAGAAUCAAGUUAUCAAUAUGAUGAGUACACAAGUAUUUACAAUUUAAUCCAUGUCAAAUGAGAACAGAAAUUUAAAAUCUAAAUUGAUAGCUACGAAAAUGAAAUGAUUUUAUUGUUAUAAUAUUAAUACUUUCAAAACUUAAUUAAAAUAUUUUAUAAUUUAUAAAUUAAUUUUAAAAAAAUUAAUUAAUAAAUUGAGAAUAUUUAAUACAAAUAACUUCUUAUAUGAAUAUAAAUAAUUAUAACACAUUUAUUAUUAAAUGAAAAUAAUGUUGUUUGGUUGGAAAUGGUCCCACCAUAUUUUACGUUUGGGGAACAAAGCGACGGUGUUUUGGUUGGAGAAGAAGGAAGUAACGUCGUUAAGUACAUCGUUUUGUUUAUCUUUAUUUUAAAUUUGUUUUCUCGUUUUCUAUUUGACGCCGCUAAUAUUCUUUUUUGAGUAAACUAUAUUAAAAGUCAUUCAACUAGUUAAAAAGUUACAAAAUGAUCACCAAAUUAUUAAUAAUUUCUUUUACCUAAUUAUGAAAAGUUAUAAAAUAAUAAAUUUUUAUUAUUAUUUAGCGCAUACGAGUAUUUGUUAUUUUUUUCUUUGAAUUUUUCAUUUAUUCAUUAAAUGAAUUAAUAAAUUUCUCUUUAAAAAAUUUACUCGGGGCAGAACAUAACAAGAGUCAAAGCUUCAGCUUGUAAUAUUGGCUUGUGCCAUGAUAGGCCUUUAUAAGGUGUUGUUCAACUUAUAAUUUGAUGUGUGCCAACAUAAGCAUCAACACACAAGUCAUGUAUAUACAGCCAAGACAUCGACAUCUUUUGGAAGAGUCCUAGUCCAAGCAUCAUAAUUGAACAUAGCCUUGGAAUACCGUCAAAAACAAUUAUUGUCUCAUAAUCAAUUGUGCAUCCCUGCAUUUGAAUACUAUUUGGAANNNNNNNNNNNNNNNNNNNNNNNNNNNNNNNNNNNNNNNNNNNNNNNNNNNNNNNNNNNNNNNNNNNNNNNNNNNNNNNNNNNNNNNNNNNNNNNNNNNNNNNNNNNNNNNNNNNNNNNNNNNNNNNNNNNNNNNNNNNNNNNNNNNNNNNNNNNNNNNNNNNNNNNNNNNNNNNNNNNNNNNNNNNNNNNNNNNNNNNNNNNNNNNNNNNNNNNNNNNNNNNNNNNNNNNNNNNNNNNNNNNNNNNNNNNNNNNNNNNNNNNNNNNNNNNNNNNNNNNNNNNNNNNNNNNNNNNNNNNNNNNNNNNNNNNNNNNNNNNNNNNNNNNNNNNNNNNNNNNNNNNNNNNNNNNNNNNNNNNNNNNNNNNNNNNNNNNNNNNNNNNNNNNNNNNNNNNNNNNNNNNNNNNNNNNNNNNNNNNNNNNNNNNNNNNNNNNNNNNNNNNNNNNNNNNNNNNNNNNNNNNNNNNNNNNNNNNNNNNNNNNNNNNNNNNNNNNNNNNNGCAGGCCCAUAUUUCUAAUUUUUUAUUUUUUAACUUUUUUGUACUAUUUUGAUAAAUAAAAAAAGUAAACUAUUUUGAUAUUUUUUUAAUUUUUUUGUAUUAUUUUAGUAAAAAUCCCGUGUUAUUCAGCUUGUAAUUUGAUUGUGCCAACAUAAGCAUCAACACACAAGUCAUGUAUAUACAGCCAGGACAUCGACAUCUUUUGGAAGAGUCCUAAUCCAAGCAUCAUAAUUGAACAUAGCCUUGGAAUACAGUCAAAAACAAUUAUUGUCUCAUAAUCGAUUGUGCAUCCCUGCAUUUGAACACUGUUUGGAACAUUAAAAUUGCGUUUUUUCCUGAGUUGGUACAUAUUAUGCAACAAGGAAAAUAAAGAACACAAUUAAGAUGUUUACGCAGUUUGAAACUCAUCCUACGUCUGCGGGGCUUUGCCCAAAUAUGACUCCACUAUGAACUUCAUAGUACAGAGAAAUGAUUCAAGCUUAACCUCUCAAACACUUGAUGCAAUCUCACUUUUGCACAAUUAAGUAAAUUAUUUCUCAACUCAUUUUAGCUAUGCAAGUGAAAAUUCACAUUCAACACUCAGAUGGUUUUCUUACUAUGAAUCAAGCACUUAAUAAGCUCCAUGUAAAGUGAAAUAAAUCAAGCACUUAAUAAGCUCCAUGUAAAGUGAAAUAAUAAAUUUUCAAAUGCAGUAUGUCUGGCAAUUGUCAUGCUUGAACAACGACUCUUCCAAAAGCAUCAAUGAACCUGAAAAUUAUAAAUGCCAACAUAGAAUAUGUUACAAAUCCCAUUAUUAUCAGCCUUAUAAUUGCACAUAUGUGUGUUUAGUAUAAUGUUGUUGAUAUAUAAAUAAUGAAACAUUUUAUCAACUUCAACCUCACCACCAAAUAUUCUGAAGCAUCUUCCUUUUUUUUCCUGUUUGGACCUUCAAUAGUAAAUUUGGCUGGAAUUCUAAAAAGAUAAAAGAGUGCCCUGCAUCAAUGAAUAUUAUGAAUUUGAAUACCUCCAAAAGCCUGUCAGUAUCACAGGUACCAUCUAAAAUAGUAAUCAGUUGGCAUAUAUUAAGAGAAAACAUAAAUAUAUAUAAAGAUAUGAUGGGUAAGUGCUUAAAUGAAGAAAGCAGAGCAUAUAGUACAACCAUUUUGAAGGCUUCAUAGGCCUCUCUCUCCACAUCAAUGAUUUUUUAGAAUUAAAUUAUUAGAAGCAAUUGUCAAGUUAUUAUUAUGAUUUAAAAGUAAAAAGCAAAUAGAUAAAUUAGCACUCUUUUUAUGCAUAUAAAAUGAUUGAAGUUGACUAAUGCCUUUCUCCAAUGCCUUACUGCACAAAUCAGCAAAAAUAUUAUGAAAGAUGAUAAGUAAAAAGUAGGAUGAAAACAAAGGGAUUUUAACAAGGAAAUUAACAGUAUCCAACUUCAAUGAAAAAUGGCAUCAGACCCCUCACUUGGAGAUUCAAUAUACCACUCAUAUUUUUCUUCAAAAAAAGAUAAGGUCAUCAAAAUAAAUAAAUAACAAGGACGGACCAACCUGAAUCAACUCAAUGUCGGGGAUGUGAGCAAUCUUAUGCCAAUCAGCGCCACUGUCCUUCCGACAUCUUUCCUCCAACUGAGGAAUUCUUUCCAUAAAUAACAUUUGCAAAUUGGUUAGGCAACGCAUCUCGUCUGGAAGAGAUGUUAAAUUGGGCAAAUUAACGAGAAAAAGCCGUUGCAGAUUUGUUAGAUGUUGAAGCCACUCCGGAAGAUGCCGACACUUUGGAAUAUUUUGCAGCUGUAGAAAGCGUAGGCUUGUAUGAUCUUGGAAUAUUUGGAUGCCAGCCCCAGAUAACUCCAGCUCCUUGCAGUCCAUUACUAAAAAGUCUUCAAGGGAAGUGAGAUGUUGGAACACAGGAAGCAGUGACCUCAAUCCAUUGCAGUUAUGAAUUUUUAAUGUUUUCAAUUGAACAAGAUGUUGAAGCCCAAUGGGGAGAGACACCAGCUUUGGAAUAUUAUCAAUCUCCAAAUGAGAGAGAUUCUUAAGGGGUUCCCAUUGCAUGCCCUCUAAAUCAACCUCCUUGCAAUCUUCUAUUGUUAAUCUUUUGAGGCUGGUGAGAUGUUGCAGGCAUUCAUCUAGCGUGUGAGUGUCCAACCCCUCAAUCUUGUGUACAUCGAAAGAUUUCAAUUUGGAGAGUGGAAGAGAAGAGGUUGAAGUUAAUGGGGCCUUAGCAUUGAUGUUCAUCUUGAUAGUCUGCUUUAACGGCCUUGAACUGGUAUUCGACAACAUUAGAUCUUCAUCGAGUGAUGGAUACAGCGGCAUUGAUGUCAAAGGGCAAUUUUCAAUUGUUAAAGAGGAAAGACAAGGAAAUCCCAUGGUUGAUGUUCCCAUAACUGUUGUGUCGUCCUCGUUGGAAUCAUCAUCGAUUGGUUUUGUCGUCCUCCACCAACUCAUCAUAUUCGGACAGUACCGGAGCGAAAGAUGCUUAAGUGAUGGGAAGAAUGAUUGUGGUUCUCCUUGACUUCCUUUUGGGCUAUUAUCAUCCAUGUACUCCAGCUCAGUUAAAUUAGAAAUCACCAGCCCUUUAAGACAAGGAAAUUGCACAAAGGACGGGAUUUGUUUGAAAUUACCCUGAUGUAUUGUCAUAUAAACGAGAUUUGUUAGAAAAGAAAGCCAACUUGGAAACUUGGCAUCACUCCUCCAUCCUCGAAUACAGAGCUCCUUGAGAUUAGGAUGGGGUUGGAGGUCUUCAAGUGAUUUAUCAUCAUCAUAUUCAUCAUCGUUAAAAUCAAAAUAAAAUUUCCAUUCUAAAAGCAACGAUCUCAAAUGUUGCUUCUCUUUCAAAUUAGCAGCCUUAAACUUCUCUUUUGCAUUUUUUACGAAUCCCAAAUUUCUUAUUUCUAGCUCUCCCCUUAAAUUGUUAAGCAGUCUCAAUUCACUUAGAUCUGCACCGCCAUGGGACCCAUCUUUAUCCACUACAAACAUGCUUAACGUCUCAAGUGAAGUCAGCUUCCCUAUUCCACGUGGCAUAUGAGUUAAACUCAAACAGCCUUCACACCCAAUAUGGGUAAGAUUCACCAAUUUUUCAAUCUUCUUUGGCAAUUCUUGAAGCCCAUCACACCAGUCAAGUUUCAGCGCUAGCAAAUUCUGAAUCUUGCAAAUACUCUUUGGGAGAAUCUUAAUAUUGAAAUUCCAAGAAAGAUCAAGGUACCUCAAAUGUUUCAACUUACAAAUGGAGGGUGAAAUCUUUCGAAUACCCAUAGAAUCCAAUUUCAAUACACGCAAGCAUCCACAAUUUGCAAUUAUCAAAUCCCAAGUUUCAUCACUCAAUUUUUGAUCGUUGUUGUCUUGAAAAUGUAACAAGGUUCGCAACUUCUUGCCCUUAAACAAAGGAAUUAAUGAAGGAAUUAAUAAAGGAUUAAUUGAUAUGUGGCGACAUUUUUCACCAACAUCACUUGCAAUUUUAUUUGAAUCUACAAUACUACUCUCCAUCCCUGCUACUGAUUCAGCUAGAUCAUGCAUUAAAUCAUGCAUUUUAUAUGUUAGCCCUUCCCAUGGAUAUCUUUCUCCUACUUCUUGGAAGAAACUUCUUUCAACUAAAUCUUUAAAAUACCCAAACCCGAUCUCCUCGAGAGAUUGACUUUGAUUCAAUUGCUUUAUGAAACCCUGUGCAAUCCAUAAUUGAACAAGCGCUUGUACUCUAAUUCUGUAAUCUUUUGGAUACAAUCGGCAAUAAGCAAAGCAAUGCUUCAAAUGAAACGGGAGAUGAUCAUAACUCAAUUUCAGUGUAGGUAGAAUUUCUCCUUCAAUUUGUGAUAUUUUAGCAAGUUCAUUUUCUUUGAAAGAAUGCCACUCAUUUGCAGUUUUCUUCAAAGAUAAUGUACCAGCUAUCGUCCUUAUGGCUAAGGGAACCCCACCACACCUGCCCGAAAUCUGUCUCCCUACUUCCACAAAGGCUGAAUUUGUUGAGUCUGCAUAUCCUUGCUCAAAUGCUAUCCUUUUGAACAAAGACCAAGCAUCAUCAUCAGACAGGCCUUUCAAUUUCAAAACAUGGGAUUGACAUUUAUUAGUUAUCUCCGCUACCCUUAGAGAUCGAGUAGUUACUAUUAUCCUACUCCCUUUAGCCCCACCCAUCAAUAACUUCUUUAGCCUAGACCACCUUUCUGGGUCCUCAUUCCAAAUGUCAUCCAAAACAAGCAAAUAUUUUUUCCCAUCAAUUUUAUCUCGAAGUUGUGUUUGCAAUUGAUCCAUUUCAAGAUUUUGAUCAGGUGCUUGAUUAGUCACAGAUUUGAUAAUGUUUGCUACAAUAACUUUCACAUCAAAAUCAUCUGAAACACACGCAAACAUCGUCAAGUCAAAAUGAUUUUUGACCAUUUCAUGGUUAUAGACAAGUUGGGCCAAAGCAGUCUUCCCUAACCCUCCAAACCCCACAAUUGGAAUGAUAUAAACAUUCUCUUCACUUUGAAACUCCAACACGAGUUUUAGAAGAGCUGCUUUAUCAUCAUCCCUCCCUAUUAUGUCAUCGUCACGCUCAAAAGAGUGCGUUUGCUGCCUCCUUUUAGUCAUGAAAGAGGUUUCCGCGGGGCGAUCACGCGGAAUGAAGCCAAAAGUGUUGGCCUCCCUUUCAAUUGAAGCUAAUCUCGCCUUAAUGGCCUUCAUUUUCCGACCCAUUUUGAGACCAUAAGCAAAUUGGUUUGAGGUUGAGAAGAAAAGGCGUACCUCUUUCGUCAGCUUGUUCCCACCCGAUAGAUCUUUCCGCAAAGCUUCAGUAGAGAAAUCAUCGAGCAAGUCGUCGGCAUCAUAAAGUACAUCUUUCAGCUCUUCAAGCCAAACUUUGACGAGAUUGUCGGUCACCGAUUUCUCUUCUGCGUCAAGAAGCACAGCUUUGACUUGACAGACAGUGCGUUUGAGGUCCUGGAUGUCAUGUUUUAGAUUCCACCACAGCCCAACUUGAGAGAGAGCACGAGAGCUCAACUUAAUAAUGAGCUCUGCGGCAAUAUCGAAAGCAAUUGCUUCGGCCAUUGUUGGUUCAAACUGAAAUCAAGGCAAGAAAUGUUUGAUUAGUGAAAGAGGAGGACUAAAAUGAGAAUGAUUCCAACAAGAUGAAACACAGAUGUGGAUCCAUCCACCCAGCAAGUAGUAUAAUAAAAUAAAAAGUAAUGUUGAUUGGUGGGAAAUGCUCCCUCCAUGUUAAAGUCAUGUUGAUUGGUGGGAAAUUGUCAAACUUCUCAAUGGAGACAAAGUUGGGAUGAUGACACUUGGGGCGGUCUGCACAAUGUGGAGCCUUACAAAUAAUUGAAAUUAAUGAAAAAGCUAUGAAAGAAAAGAGAAAAAGAUUGAGGCCCAAAAGUCACUACCUCAUUUUAAGUUGCAUCAUAAAUUAUAAUGUUAUAAAUAUCGCUAGAAUAAUCUAUCUCAAAAGACAAAUUAUAACAUUUAGAUAGAACCCAAUUAUAAAGAGAAUCGGCUAAUUUAUUACAACCACGUUUCACCCAUUUGACCUCAGCAGAAACAAAAGAAUCAAGCAUCUUGUGAGCUCUUUGAUGCAAUGAUCAAAGAUUAUAGUGUCCUCCUUGUGAAACUAAAGCAGUUGACAAAGCUAGCACAAUCUGUUUCAAAAAUGACAUUUUCGGCUUUAAGAAAUUGAGCAAGCCAAAAACCAUCGAUGAGGGCAUCUAAUUCUGCUUUAAUAGUGAUUUUUUAUUCUCAUUUUAUCGAUAUAUUUACAUUUGAAUUCAAAUACAUAUUCUACAAUUAACUUUAAUCUCACUAUUACAAUACUUAACCUCACUAAAUUAUUUGUUUAACAUGAUUAUGGUGAAUUUAUAGAAAGAACAAUUACGAAACAAAUGCAGAUGCACUUAUGUUUAAAGUGUUAUUAAUGGAAAUUUUAUUAUUUUGAAAAAUAAAAGUAUAACAACUUUUUUAGCAUUCCAAUUUUAUAAAAGAAUAAUUUUAGCUCUCUUUUUAUUUUCCUUCUCUUUUAGUCUUUGAACUUACAUUUUUUUGUCAAACCAUCCAAAAUGAGUGAAAAAGUUAACAUUUGUUAACUUUGUUGACAUGACAUAUAGGUGGAUUACCACUUGUAUGUCACGUUAGUAAUUAAUUAUUUUAAAAAAUAUAUUUAAAAAAUAUUUUCUUAUAAUUUUUUAAUUUUUAAAAUAUUUUUUAAAAUUUUUUAAAAUUUUAAAAAAUAAUUAAUUGCUUAUGUGGCAUAUACAUGGUAAUCCACGUAUAUGUUACAUUAGCAAAAUCAACAAGCAUUAAAUUUUCACUCAUUCUAGGGUGAUUUGACAAAAAUUACAAGUUUAAGAACUAAAAGAAAGAAAAAAUUAAAUGAAGAGUUGAAAUAACUUUUUCUAUAAAGUUGGAGACCAAAAGAAUCAUUAUGGCAAAAAAUAGUUGUUUUUCUUCUUUCUUUCUUUUUUUUUGGCAAUUUUUAGUGCUAAAAUUCAAGAUGGUGUGGAAUAGUUUCUAAUCUUAUUAUUGUUAUAUAUAUUUUCGAUCUCAUUGGAGUUAAUUUCAUUGUCAAUAUAAAGAGAGCUUAAAUAUAAUUUAUUCCACUUCUAUUAAACAUGUUAGCGCUCCUUUGUAUGAUCAUUUACCUCCCGUGAGUAGGGUCGAGUAAAAAAAAUAAAAUAAAAUAAUUGAAAAUCAAUCCAAAUCAAUGAAUUUAGACGGUUUAUGGAUACAAAUUAAAAAUUUACAAUUAUUCGAAACCGAACCAAAUUCAUUAUUAUCACAUUACUACGGUAUUCAAUCUCGCUAUAUCAACAACUAAUCUCACCACCAACGUUAUUUUUAAUUUCACUAGAAUUCAUCCAAUUAUACAUCCAAAGAAAACCAUAAACUUAUCUAAAUACAAAUAAAACUAUAAAAAACUUAUUUAGACAUAAACUUUAUUAUUUGACACAAUAAAAAUAUAAUUACUUGCUUGAUUUAUACAUUUGUCCAAUAGUAAUGUAACCCAUUCAAUUUGGUCAGAUUGAAGGUUAUUCUUUGAUAAAUUAUUAUUAUUAUUAUUAUUUGCUUUGGGCAAACUUAAUACAACUUGAUUUACUCUUUAUUAAUUAAAAGCAUUUUAUUUAUAUUUAAUUAUAAAAAUGUGUAAAUAUUAUUAAAAUAUUAUUUUUUAAUAUUAAAUGAAUAGUGAAAUAGGGUCAACUUAUAAGGGUUAAAGUGUUUAGGAAGUCCCUAUAUUAUAGACUGUAUCAAAUUAGUCUCUCGAUUAUUAAACAAAUCAAAUUUAUUCUUGUAUUAUUAAAAAAGAAUCAAAUUAUGUCAAAUUGUAACAAAAUUAGCAUUUACUGUAAUAAUUUUAACAUUAACAAAGUUAACAAUUUGCAAUAUAAUUUUUAUGCAAUAAAUGUUAACUUUGUUGUAAUUUGGUUUUAUUUGAUCCUUUUUUAAAAGUACAGAGACUAAAUUGACCAUUUAAUAAUAGAGAGACUAAUUUGAUGUAGUUCCUAGAAUAGAGGUACUUUCACCCUUAUAUAUGUAUUUGAAUCUUAUUUUGGAUGAAAUUGAACAAUUGAAAAAGAUAAGAGUUCAAAAAGGUAAAAAUAAAUUGUAAUUAUAUACAAAAUACUUCCCUCCACAUUUAUCCGAACAAAAGAUUCCCUCCCUUUUCCCUCGUUUUCUACUCUCUCUCUAACGUCUAAACUAAAACCCUCACUUUCUUUCUCUUCCUAUUCCCCCAAUUCCAAUUAUACCCCCACCUCCUUCCCCUAGAAAUCAUAAACCUCCAUGUCCGGAGGGGCUGGAGCCUCCGAUGGUCCCACGCUGCCGUAUCAACCUCCUCCCACGGCUUCAACUGCACCAGCUUCGACGGUUCCUUCGGUUGUUCCGCCGAUACGUCGUCACCUGGCCUUCGCUUCGACGAAGCCGCCGUUUGUUCAUCCCGAUGAUUAUCACAGAUUUUCAUCUAGUAAUAGUCGUGGAAUCGUCGCCGAUCAAGAAGUUGAAGCAAUUGUUGUGAGAUUUCUAGUGAGUUCAAAAAUUUAAUGUAAGAAAAGGCGUACCUCUUUCGUCAGCUUGUUCCCACCCGAUAGAUCUUUUCGCAAAGCUUCACUGGAGAAAUCAUCGAGCAAGUCAUCGGCAUCAUAAAGUACAUCUUUCAGCACUUCAAGCCAAACUUUGACGAGAUUGUCGGUCGUCGAGGUCAUGUUGGAGAUUCCACCACAGUCCAACUUGAGAGAGCGCACGAGAGCUCAACUUAGUAAUAAGCUCUAGGGCGAGGUCGAAAGCAAUUGCUUCGGCCAUUGCUGGUUCAAACAGAAAUCAGGCAAAGAAGCGUUUCGUUAU